Molecule: long non-coding RNA, 85399 nt
Filed under: Brassica rapa (field mustard)
Lineage: Eukaryota; Viridiplantae; Streptophyta; Magnoliopsida; Brassicales; Brassicaceae
Description: long non-coding RNA (BRAP_LNC005704)
Source: RNAcentral
AUGUUUUUUUUCUUUUUUUUCCGUAAACUCAUUCUCUAAACAUUAUUUAAAUUUUGAUUUACAUAUGUCAUGGUUCAUUUUAACAAAAAUUGACAAGGCUUCAAUUUAACUGGUACACGUAUAAUUCUAUUUUUUAAUAAAAUUUAUAUUUUUGACAAAAAAGUUUUAAAUAUGAUAAUGAGUUUGACUGAUAUAUCACCAUUAAAGUAUCAUUUCUUAACAAAUAAUUAUUUUUGACAAAAAAAUUAAAUAUAUUAAUAAAUAAUAAUUCAUAUAUCUUCAUUGAAACUAUAUAUAUCACAUUAAUUACAAACAAACUAAUUAUAAAUAUAAUUUUGAGUAACUUUUUUUUAAAGAAGAGUUUAUACUCUAAGAUUUUUUUCAAGAGAUAAUUGGGUCAAUAUACUCCAAUCGCUAGAAAAUUAAAAAAGUACCCAAAAACAAAAAGAACUUGUUGGGCCCGUACCUUUUUGCGUCCCCCUUUCCAAAAAUGCCCUUAUCGCCUCGAGACGUGCGGCGAGUAGGUGAAAAGUUGCGAGUCAGCGUGAUCUUCAGAAGUGCAAACAAAAGAUACUAUUCUGAUAUAGCUUUCCGGCUGACAUCUUUUCGAGCGACCGGUUUCUUUAGGUUACUCUGUCAAGUACAAACGGAUCGAAACAAAAGCCCCUGGAAACAUCUGUGGAUCGUAAAAAUGGGGGGGGGGGGGAAUUACAGGUUAUCCGAAUUUUUUUUGGGAUUUUGGUAGUGUAUUUAAUGGAGGUCUGGGAAAACAUAAAUGUAAAGCAUAAUCGAUAGAGAGAGAAAGAAACAUGUUAGAGUGAGAUUGCUCUAGUGGCGAAGAUCCUUUUACAGUAGUCGUUAUCCCUUUGUGUUCGAGGUAUGUCUCUAAUAUUUUUUAGAUUUUACUUUCUGCAUUAAAUUUCUUAACUGCAAACAAGUUUGAUACUACGAAAUAGGUGUUUUGGUCCAUUGACAUUUAUUUUGACUGUCAUAACUAUCACAGUAUUUUAAUUCCAGUGACAAGCAUCUCAAAUGUCACAUUCCCCACGGAUAUUUCAGAAAAAAUUUCCUACUUGCGUAUCAUCUCCACAUGCUCAGGGAUAAUCCGAGGAAAGUGUGAUGUCGGGAUUAAAACACAAGAGGUAAAAGUCAGACACACAUACUUCAAACGCAUCUCUCUGUCUUUUAUUUUCUUCUUCUGUAGCAUUUCGAUGGUCGUGUCGACUAAGCAGAACUUGAGAGAUCCAAUUAGUUCCCUCCAGUCAAGCUUUUCCUUAAUGGGGUGCUUCUUCCGUUUGCAGUUUAUCUUCGGAAUCUUGCUGCAAUUGAGGCUGGUGACUUGUGCGAACUCGUGCAUUGACAUCCUGAGCGGCUUUCAGAGAAGAGAAACCAAGUCUUGUACUUUUUUCACGUGGAGGAUUCGGACAAUCACGAACUGGCCGAACCUUCCUGAAAAUGAAGGAUUAUCUGCUAGUGAAAUGAUCUUCCCAAACAUCGUCUGCUGCAGGAAGUGAACCUCUUCUGGCUCGAGCGCAUCUAAUAUAGAUUCAAUUCUCUUCAGUUUGUGGUAAGUGUUUACUCUAUCUCCGGAUGGUUCUUCACCAGCUACAAACAUCCGUUCAUGCAGUAUUGCUUGCUCCAUAGUGUCGCUCGGAGAUAAAGAAAGCGUCUUGUUUCUCUAAAGAAAUAAAAGUAGGUCUGGAGAAAUGAAGAUGCAAAAAUUGGAAAAGAGUGCUAUUUCAAAAGGAUCCCUUACACGUAAAUGUAAAAGCUGACUUUUCAUUUACCCUUUUCGUCAUUAAAGUAAAAAUAUUAGAAAUAAUCUAGAGAAGCCUCGAAACCUUAAGUGACAUGCCGUGUAAUAGUGUGUUCUACUAAUAGGGUCUGACACCAAGGCGGUGAAGACUAAAAGAUAAGCGUGUUAGGAUGUAGGGGCGAAAUGGUAUUAAAAUAAAAUAGAUCAAUAGGGUGGCAUUUGGCAAAUUUCGAAUAUUUCCGUAUACAUACAUCAUAAUUUCUCUUUUUCAAACGGGUUCUCAUUUCUAAGAGGAAAAGAAAAGGAUUAUUUUUAUGAUGUACUAGAUAUAUAUAUAUAGAUAUGGUUCUGUAAGUUGCACAUCUGUUAUUUGUUAUAUUAGUUUUAAAAAUUACUAUCAAAUAGAUUUUAAAAUUUUAUUUUUAUUAGGAUUUUAUAAAAUAAAAAUAUUAAAAAAAUCUUUUUGUUUAGGAUUUAAAAAAAUGGAAAAUUACUAUCAAAUUUUCUUUUACAGUUUUUAAGGGAUUUUAGAAAAGUAAAUUACUAUCACAUAAUCUUUUGCAAUUAUAUUUUUUUAGAAUUUUAGAAAAAAAAUUACUAUCAAAUACUUAUUUCCAAUUAAUAUUAAAUAAUUUUACAAUUUUACAAUUUGAUAAUUUAUUUUUGUUAAUAUCAAGAUUAUUUUAGGCUAUACUUUUAAAAAAAAAUAUCAUUUCUCUUUUAGUUAGGAUUUAAAAGGGAAAAUUUCUAAUUUUUUUAAGAUUUUAAAGCAGAAAAUUAUUAUCAUAUAAUUGUAUGUUAUUAUUGUCACAUGUAACAAUUUUUUAUUAAUAUAUCUCACGAUCAUGUUAAUUAAAAAGCUUAGAAAAACAAAAUUUUGAUUAUCCUCGAUAAAAGAAAAUCCGUGAGAUCUAAGAGGCUAAAUUUUUUUUUUUUUUUUUUUUCUAAGAGGCUAAAUUACAUAAGACUAAUCUGAGACACACGUAAUAGAAUGUUGACUGAAGAAUGAUCUUGACUUGGGAUCAUAGAAAAUUAAACAGAGGCUAAAUUACUUAUUUUCACAUACGUAAACAACUUUCAAACUUUACGUUUCAAAUUUACACUACGUCAUUACCUAUGGUUUGAUCUGAAACAAAUUCAAACUAUUAAAAAAAAAAAUAGGAAGCCGAAAGAGAAAGAAAAAGAUAACAAUUAGAAUUCUUCCAGAGGAGACCGGAGAAAAACUAGAAGCCUAUUGAAAGACGAUAAAAGAAUCGGGUUGUGUGAAAUUAAAUUGACAUUAUGCCCUAUCACCAUUUACGAUCAAUCGAAAUUCAAUAGUUCUUAUCCAAGCCGUAUUUAAUGAUAUACUCCUUUCAUUCCAUGAAUAUAAUAGUUUUGAGAUUUUUAUUUGUUUCACAAAUAUAAUACUCUCUGUGUUCCUAAAAAUUAAUGUUUUCGAAUUUUCAUACUUUUUAAUGUAUUGUUUUUUGUAAUUUUAUAUUUUUUAUAUUUUUAAAUCAAUAAAUUUAAAAAAUGCAAUUGAUGUUUUUGAAUUUCACAAUUUUCAUUAUUAAUUAACAAAAAUUACAUUGUAAAUAUAAAUAUGUAUUUUUUUGAAAUAAUUUUUUUUCUAGAAUAUAAAUUUUUAGGAACGGAAUGAGUAGUUUAAUGUGUGUUUAAUAUAAUUCAAUAGCUUCGCCUUCCACACACCUUACAACAUGUUUUGUUGUUCUUCAGUCUACAUUUGGUCCAUUGGAUGUAUAUUUUUUUAAAUGUUCUUAAUACUAUUUCCUUGUUACAAACAUAUGAUGAUUCAUCUUUUCAUUGAUUCUAUCAUGUCUUUUUGGACACGAUCUUCCCAUCCUCAAAUCAUAAUUUCUUUAUUUUGAAUUUCCAUAGCUAACACGUGAGAUAUAUAUAUGCUUUACUUGUUUGAGAAGAAAUCAAUAAAAGGUUGAUGUCUAAGAUAAGCAUACUAUGCAUACAGUGGUGCUAGAAUGUUCGAGCCACAAUCCCAUUUUGAGAAGAGUAACCAGAUUUUCUCUCUAGGUACCAAAUACCAAUAAACAUAGAUAGAUUUGAAAAAAAUAAGAAGCAAUUAACAUAAUAUUUUUUUUGUCGGCACAAUGGCAUUAUCAUCUUCACGUAUAUAACAAUCCAAACUAUUCUUUAAAUGUGCCUCUGUAGAAAAUUGAACUUAUUUCAGACCGAAGAAUUCAGCUUUGUCCACUUCCGGAAAAUUGUCAUAAGUAAGAGAGAUGAGGAUUGGCUAAAUAACCCACAUAUCAAACCAAUCCACAAACCCUGUUUUCACCAAAAUAAUAGCUCCAAAAUAAACACAAAACCAUAAAUUUUUCUUUAUCAUCAAUCAAUUCAUAAGAGAGUAAUGCAGUUACCUUGGCAUAUAACUUCAACUUGAAACCACAGAAGGCUGCAAUAGGCAUUCCAAUGAAGUAGAAUGUUCCUAGAUUUACAACCGUGACUACCCUUUGCCAUCCGCAUCCUCUGGCCACUCCUGUAAGCAAUAAAAAGGGAGGUUUCUUUUUGCCUUCGAUUCAUCGAGAAAGAAAGAGGCUUUCUUGGAUCUUUUAUUGGGCCCUCUUUUAUUACCUGAUAGAACACCUUGGAUCGAAUCAAGAGUUAUAGAGGCAGCAAGGAAGAAUCUCAAUGAUGCAAACUCAUCUUUAAUUAAAGGACUAUUGCUGAAUAACCCAACCCAACCAUCAUGACCUACAAAUAAAGUAACCACUACGCCAAGAGCAAGAACUAACGACAACUUGGUGGAAACAGAAGUCGCCUUCUUUGCACCUUUUACAUUUCCUGCUCCAAGUUCGUUCGACACACGAGUACUGCAGCAUUUUUAAGUUUUACAUUUUCGAAACAAUAUAUUAAUGAGAGGAAAAUACAUAAUUUUCAUGACUCAUGAGAUUACUAACCUUGCAGCUGCGCUAAGUCCAUAUGUUAACAUGUAGCUAAUUGCUUCCGUGUUGACGCUGAAUUAAUUUAAUAUUUACGCAGCAAUAUGCUACUUUUGUUAGAGUGAAACAGAAAAUUAAUAAACUAAAUAGUAAUAUAAAACUUACCAUAUAGCUACCAGAGAGGUGGCUAUUUCCGGGUUCGGCAUCAGUCCUGCCAAGACCACAAGGAUCUCGAACGCCCAAUAUUCCAAGCUGUUGCAAUAACAUAGUCUCUUUAGAUUUAAGAAGCAUAUAUAUGGAAUUAUAAGCAGAUGACAAUAAUUAUUGAUCCGACCUACCACACCAUAGCAGCAGAAGGGAGACUUAAUGUCAAGUUUGUUACUACAUAACGGAUUGAUUCCAGUGAAAAUCCGGUCCAUGUAUCCUUAAACUUGUCGGAACAGAUCACAUAAGUCCCAAGAGAAAGGAAAGCUAUCCACAAUGAAAUAGAUGUAGCUAUUGGAGCACCAAUGAACCCAAGGCUAGUUAAAUAAACCAGAACAUAGGAUAUGCCGAUAUUAAUCACCAAGGGAACAAAUGAGAAGACAACUAAUGGAGUAACGAUUGAUUGUGUUUGGCAAAAUCUCAGUAUGUUUUGUAAGAAUCCGUAAGCGAGUAACCCGGGAGCUUGGUAUUUCAUAUAUAUUGCAGCUUGUUUUGAGAUGUUAGGAUCUUGUCUGAUAAGUCCGAAAACUGAUUCUGUGAAGAACCACAAGAUGGAGAUGAAGAUGGUGAAGACUAAUGAGACUAUGCAAGAUGAUUGUAGAUGAAUCCCUAACAUUCUGUAGCUUUUUGCACCAAAGCCUUGUCCACAUAAUGUCUCCAGUGCUCCACUUAAACCAACCUGAAAAAUAAAGGACAUUAACUUCUAUUUUAAACAAUCCACAUGUAUUAAAUCACCAUUAGUGAUUUCUUUCGUACAAAAUCCUCCACAUGUCACUUUAAACGUCUUAAAUAACAAGAAAACUGGGUUAUUAGUUUUUUUUCACAUCACUUACGACGAUUAAUAUGUUUUAUUAAAAUUGCCAUAAACAACUAAACAAGAAAGAAAUAUUUGUAAAUUCGAAUAACUAAUCCUACAUAAAUGGAUGAAGUGGGUUCUAGUCAUUUAUGCAGCUAAUUAAAUAUCAAUACCAAAUGUUAAAUAAGGAGCUUGAGGUGAAGAGCGGAAUGGUACCAUGAACGCAAAACCGGUGACGGUUGUCCAAGAAUUGGCGAGGGUUGCAGCGGCAAGCUCGAGCUGGCCGAGGUGAGAAGCGAACAUCACAGAGGUUAAAGGGAUACAAUAGAAGAAAAGAUUUGUGAAUAUCAUUGGAAGAGAGUAAACGAUUUGAGCCUUUGAUUCUUCCACGUCGAUCAAUUUUUGAACCCAAGAGAAGCUUAUGCUUCCUCUGUCAUUUACAUUAUCAUCCAACAAUGGAGAGCUUGAUAUGAUGGGAUCAGCCAUUGGAACUUCUUGGUGAAAGACUUUGCUUAAUUUAGUUGCUGAGAAAACUUGAAAAUGUGUAGAAGAAAGCUAUAAUUUGUAAAGGGGAAGAUUUGAAUUAAAUAAGGAGGGUAAGUAGCAACACGUUAUUAAAUAUAGUUGGCACAAAGACAGGCAAACAUUAUCUAUUCCAUUUAUUGUCACUCAAUGAUUAAACUGUAAACUACAAGUGUUUUUUUUUUUUUUGCUUCUCUCUCAUUUUCUCCCAAAACCCUAAAAGACCACAGUUAGUAGGUGAAAGCAUUGUAUCGUAAUGUUUAAGGUUUAAAGAUUUUUACAUCCAGGUCUAGAGUUUAAAUCUUAGGCUAUGCAAUUUUUAGAUCUAGAGUUCAAAUUUUAGGCUAUGCAAUUUCUUGCAUAUUGUACAUUACAAGAGAUCCAAGUUGCAAUUUCCGGAGAAAACAAUUUAUUAAACAAUUAUGUAGGCUACUAAAGAAAAGCUUACAAGAAAAUUUCAACACUGUGCAUGUAAUUCUGGGCAGGCGUGGAUUUUCAUAGGAUGACUCAUGUGAUAUGAAAAAAUUGAUUUUUCAGAAAAAAAAAUAAAGCAAAAAAAUCGUGGGACAUAGAGUAUAGGUUUAGGUUUUUGUUUUUUUUUUUAUUUGAGGAUUUUUAAUGUUUUCUUUUAUUUUAAUUACUUUAAUUAUUUAUCAUGUUUUAAUAUUUAACCAUUGUUUUUUAAUUGUAAUUUCGAAAUUAUAAUUGAAAUUAAGGCUAUUAUUUUCUUUUUAAAAUAAUUAGUCUAACGGAAUAUAUAGUAUAUGAGAUUAGUCGAAUGAGACAUUGUUACCAUUUUUUUUGCUUAAAAAAACAAUUUUUCCUUUUUUGUCAUCAUAAACACUCAUAUACUAUUUUUUAUUAGAUAGAAAUCUGACAUAAGCAUCUAAAACUAUUAUUUAUUUAUAAAUGUCAACUAGAUUUUGACCCGCGCUUUUCAAAAUUUAAAAAAAAUCUUAUUAAAAAAUCUAUAUAUAGUGUAUAAGUUUGGCCACAUAUAUCCAAAACCGAGAAUUAAACCGUACCAAACUAAAAAAAAAUCGAAUAGAACUGAAUUUCAUAGAUAACCGAGUAAAUAGUAUAUUUCUAGAACCAAAAAAAUUGAAACUAAAAAACCUAAACCAAAUGAGUACCUAAAUUUUUAAAAUAGAAAUUAUAUACUUACAAAUAUUUAUUAUAUCUAAUUUCUAAAUAACUAAAUAUCCUUAAAUAUUAUUUAUAAACCGAAUUAACCAAAAAAAAAACUCAAUUACUGAAUAUUUUAUUCAAACUAUUAAAAAUUAUCUGAAUUAUCUGUAAUUUGAUAUUUAAACUGAAAACUCCAAAUUAUCUGAUAUUUUUAUCUAUAAAUAUGUAAUUGUCUGGAAAAUAAGAAUUGAGCCAGAACAUAAUUGGAUCCAAAUGUUUUUGUAUGUUAGCCAGUUCCAACUUUACUACUGAACUGAACUAAAAACCGAAAUAACCAAGUUGAAAAAAUAAUUUUAUAAAUACAUGAAUGGUUCCUACGUUUAUAAAACCAAAAACACCAAAACAAAAAAACCUGAACCGAAACCAAAUAUUGGGGAGUAAUAGUCGAUCUACAUUUAAUUGGUACAAAGAAAAAAUUAUAUUUUUACAAAUUAUUUAACUCUUAUAUAUGGGAUACAUAUGCAAUUUAUAGAUAAAUUAAGAUAUAAGCAGUGUUUUUAUAUUCGAUUGGGACAUGCGGUCGAACCGGUAAACCCGGUGACCGUAUAUAAUUUGGAUUGGCUUAUGUUCUUCAUAGAACCCAAUUUAUAUGUUUCUACAAAAUUCAAAUUUAAUGAAAACCUAUUAAUUAAAAAAUUGAUAUAAGUAAAAACAUGUCAUUAACCCGUGAACCAACAUCGUUUAACCGAUAAAAAUCCAGAAAAAUCUUAUUUUAAAAAAAAUUGAUAAAUAGAGUAAUGAAAGUUAUAUUGCUAAAAAUUAUAUCCUUUAAAAUUAUAAUGGCCUAUUUGUAAUAUUUUACGUAGAAUCUAAAGCUAGGUUUAAACCGUAAUUGAGAAGAUUAUAAAUUGUUAAUUAAAAUAUAUGUUGUUUUGAUUCUACAUAGUUAAAAUUUAGGUUGCUUGAUUAUUGGGUUUGAGUAUAUUUAAAAGGAAUAUCUUAUGUGCUGAUGUGCAUAUAUGUUUUGAAGUAUUAGUCUGUUAGUUUGUUGAUGAGAUAUUUUAAUGUAGAAUAUUUGGUUAUGUCGAUCAGUCAAGAGAGAUUCAUAAUACAAAGAUAUUUUGAAUUUCAAUGGUUGGUUUCACGGAAAUAGAAGCAUCAUUUAAAAGAAAGGGAAAACGACAUAUUUCCACACCAGAAGUAUCAUAUAGUAACAGUUACACACGAUUUUUCAACCUCGUCUUAAUUGCAUACAUGAAAACUUAUCAAACUGAUUUCCCCCCGAUUUGAAAGAUCGAAACCCGAAUCCACAUAAAACUUUCGUCGGAACCAAAACCUACACCUAGCCGAUUUAAAUCGAUUUACUAUUUAUCUAUUUGUAAUCUAAUUAAUAGAUAACCUAACUAAACCAAAAAUGACGCAAUUAAAAGUGCUAAACCAAAAUAUAUAUAACCUGAUUUACUAACCGAGGUUUACCCAGAAAACUGAAGUCACAUAAUGUUGAGGAAGAAGAAGAAGAAUUCGAACAACAGCACAAGAAAGAGAAAACCCAGAAAAAAGUUCUGAGCUUUUUGUUUCCCCCAAAUCAUUCUUCUGUUUUAUUGGAAAGACAAAAAUUAUGUAUGUGGCUGUGAAUCUCGUCUUCCUCCUUUUGAACAAUAUGAAAUCUGCAAAGCUCUACACAUUGUCUGAUGCCAUUGUUGAAUCUGACGAAUACCCUUCUCUUUCUUUCCUUAGACAUUGCUUGUUCUAACAGAGCUAGAGGUCCUCGUAGCCUCUUUUGUGUGUGUGUGUAAAUAUUGAGAGGUUCUCAUGGACAAGGAGACGCCAAGGGAGAAGACGCCAUCGUCGUUCGGAAGCCUCUCGGAUCAUCAAUUUUAAAAUGGCUUACUCUAUUCUCUCAAUUUUAAAAUGGCUUACUCUGUUCUCUAAACAAGGUUACUAUCCACACUCACUUGAUUCUAGUUGAGGAUUUGUCUUACGAUCAAACGCCUUCUAUGAAAGAUGGAUGUGAGAGGGUGAAAGCGCGUGGAGCUAGAGUGAUGAGUGUUCUUUGUUGUUGCAAACGAUGGGAUUAUCGAGUUUCUUCCAAGCCAAGCUGUUGUUGGUAUAGUAAUUUAUGAAGAAAACAUAAAAAUUUGGAAAAUCUUUCAUGUGUUUUCAACUAUUGUAUGUGUUCUGUUUGUUUGCAGGUAGGGAGAUACACAGAUCCGCGAGAUGGCUUCAAAACCGGGUGAACAAAGUCGGAUCCCUCUGGUCGAAUUGUAUUUUGUCUUUUGGUUCGAUUUACCUGUUACAAACCAAUAAAUCAAUGAAUAACCGAAGCUAUGUGGAUUCGGGUUUGGAUCAUUUGAAUCGGGGGGAAAUAGGUUUGAUAAGUUUUCAUAUGUGCAAUUGAGACGAGGUUAAAAGAUCGUGGGUAACAGUUACUAUAUGAUACUUCUGGUGUGGAAAUAGGUCGUUUGCCCUAAAAGAAAUGAUUUAAUAGAAUGGUGAAAUAUAUCUUGAUAGUUCUGUAAUUAGUAUAGUAGUAUACGUGUUCAUAUGCAGUGACAUUUAAAAAAAUAGGAGGAAUACAUAUGCAAUAGAGAUGUUGGAGCGAGCUUUCAAGAAAAAGGCAAUUCUUAUCAUAAAGAUGUUGGUUAAAAUACAUGGUUACCGUCAAUAUAAUUGAUCUAUUAAAAUGCUUUAAUAUAUAAUAGAUGAAAGUAUACUUAAAAUUGUUUAAAGAAAGUAGAUUACGUCAGAUAUUAUGUUAGUUAGUAGAUAUAAGGUAGACCAUAAUACUUAAUACUAUUAGUCUAAUAAAAGAGUCCAAACAAUUUUUAUAGGUAGAUUUUUUAUGACUGCUUCCCUUUUAAUAGUAUUGAUGGUAAUUGUAUAAUGUAUACCAAUAAUGACUUUUAUUGGGAGUAUAAUUAUUUAGAUGUAUUUUUUUUUUAAUUUUGUUAGAAAAAUAUUAUAUUUGUGUAAAUUUAGGUUAGGUUGUUAUGUUACUAAUUAAUGGUCGUACUAUAUAUGACUUAUUUAUAUUAGAUAAAAAUAAGAUAAUAAAUUAAUAGAUUAGAUAGAUGCAGCUGACUUGAAACAUCUUCGUAUAGUUUUAAAAUCUACAAAAUUACUUGACAUUGCUCUUGAUUGGCUUUAGAACAAAAUAAUUUGUCAUCCGAAAAAAAAGAUGGGAGAUAGCUAGAUUACCCCUUGAUAUUUUUAGACCUGUUAAAUGUUUCUCUCAUUCCUCACGAUGAGAGCUUUUGUACAAAGUAUUACAAGAAAAUUAGAUAAAAUAUCUAUUUCUUUUGGCACAACUUGUCCCCUCGGUUGACCAAUGAGGAGGACCUUCUAUUUAAAAGAUGUUAUCCAAGUAUAAUCUAAUAUAAGUGAAAAUCCCAUAUAUAUUAAAAGAUGAUUCUUAAUAAACGAGCACUCCAACUUAUCAUAGGUCUAUUUAUAUCUGUUUUGAUUGCAAGAAGUUUUUUUUUUGCAUAAAUUUGUUUGCAAUUCAUAAAAGUUUUAUUGACGAAUUAGUGUAGGACCGCGAAAAUACUAAUUAAAAAUCACGAAACAAAAAUUGAGUAAAACGAUAAUAACUAGUAGAAAACAUUUAUAAAACCGUUAAAAAAAUAGACGAAUUCGAGGAAUCAAGAUUUGAUCUAUUUUCUUAACUCAAUGAAUCGCCUAUAAUGUGAGACGGUUUGGAUGCGAUUAUGAAUCCCAUAAUACAACCACGAUGAGACUGUUUCGCUGCACCCGAAAAUAGAAUAUAUGUUAUACUAUGCUAUACUUUCGAGACUUAUUUAAAAGACGACUAGGAUUUUGCUGGAACUAGAAGCUAAUUGCGUUUUUGCGUGUGAAAUAAUGAAGAGGGUAGAUACUUAUUUAUAUGAGAAAUAUACUUGGCCGACAAGCCAAAGAUAACGAUAAAGUAAAGAAAAUUUUUGGAAUUAUUCAUGUUUAUCGUGCAAGAGAGGAUCGGGAAUUAUUCCAAUAAUUAUCUGGAAGUUUUCCCGUAAUUAUCUUGACAUAAUCUAAAAUGUUUAUAUUUAUCUCGAUAAUUUAGACUCAGUCCGUUAGGAUUUAUCUAAGAAAUUAUCCAAAAAUCUUGAUAUGUAUUUGCUCCCAAAAAAACAUCUUAUUGUGGGCGAGAGUCCACAUUCACCAAGACCUAAGACUCAAAUCCAGCCUGGAGGCGGCGCGUGCGUGUGUGGUUUGCAUAAUGGGCCAUCUCACUCCUUCUCCAUAUUGUCCCCACAAACUAUUGAACCUUGAUAAGUGAGUACCAUAUUUAUACUACAAGAAUUUUCUUGUUAUAUGCAAUGUGAGACUCUUUACUCUUCCAUUUUAUUUAAGUGAAAGACUUUUCAUUUAAAGCAUCUCCAAAAAUAAACUCUAUUUUGAAGUUUCCACACUCUAUAUUUGAAGUUUAAAUGUGUUCUUCUCCAAAAUCAAAACUUCAAACUCAACUUCAAAACUAUUUAUAUUUUAUAAUAUGGUCCUUAUAGUUUUCAUAACUAAUUUAAAUCUAUAAAACUUUUGUAAAUAACUAGCACAUAUAUAAACAUAUUACAACAAUAUUAAUUAAUAAAAUAUUCUAUUAAAUAUAAAAAUUUAAUUAAAAAUAACUUAAUUAAUAUUAAACUUCAAACAAAAUACCAUAUUAUUUCAUAAAAUGAUUUUCAUAUAUGCAUAUAUGAUCUAUUAGUGCAUUUCGAAAUAAAAAUAUCUCUCCUCAUUUUUACUUUGUAGAUUACGAGCUAAAAGUUAUUGAAAUCAGGUAAUAUUGAUACUUGUAAAUACAUUAGAUCGGAACAAGAAAGUAAAACAUAAACGUACAAUAUUGCUUAAAGACUAAUUUCUUUUCGAUGAUAUUAAUACUCGUGAAUAUAUUUGAUAUGAACAAGAAAUAAUUGUACGAAAAAGACAUCAAAACAACAACAACAACCAUCUUCAAUUACACACAAAAUAUUGGAUAAUAUUUGAAAAUUUGAAGGUUUAGGAUCAAACUUACGUGACUAUUAGUGUUGUUGUAAUAUUUAAAUUUGUGUAAUAGUUAUGUCUUCAUGUAAUUUCUUAAAAUCUUUUUGUUAAGCUUUUUUGUAUAUUAUUGUUGUCUAAAUCUAACUUAAAAUAUUUUAAAUUUUAUUUUAAAGUUUUAUUUAAUUUUAUGUGUAAAAUUUAAAAUCUGUAAACAAAAUUUAAAAUAUUUAUGAGAUAUAAUACUUUUAAGGAUUAAAACAAUAAAUGAUAUAAUAUUUAUGAAUCAUAAAGGGGGUGUGUGAAUAUAGAGACCAAAAUGCAAACAAAAAUAUUAAACUUCAAAUUUGAAGUUUUGAAUAGUGAAACUUCAAAUAUAUAGUUUCACUACUCAAAACUUCAAAUUUGAAGUUUUGAAGUUCCUUUUUGGAGAGCAAAAAACUUCAUAUUUGAAGUUUCACUCUGAAAACUUCAAAUUUGAAGGUUUCAUAUUUUUAUUUGCAUUUUGGUCCCUACAAUUACACAUCACAUUUAUAAUUCUUAAAUAUUUUAUUAUUUAUCGUAUUAAUGCUUAAAAAAAUUAUAUCUAAUAAAAAUUUCAUUUUUUAAUAAAUUUAAGUUUUACACAAAAAAAUUAAAUUAAAUUUAAAAUAUUUUAAAACUAGAUUUAGACAACAACAAUACAAAAGAAACCUAACAACAAAAAGCUUUUAAGAAAGUUACAUGAAGACAUAACUAUUACACAAAAAUAAAUAUUACAACAAUACUAAUAGUCAGUUAAUUUGAUCCGGAACCUCCAAAAUCUUCAAAAUAUUGUCCAAACAAAUUUUGUGUAACCGAAUAUAGUUGCUGCUGUUGUUGUUUUAGUGUCUUUUUCGUACAAUUCUUUCUUAUUAAGAUCGAAUGAAUUCAUUGAAUAUUAAUAUCAUAUAUGCGUUACGAAAAUAACUUUAUGGAAUAAUACAAUAUUUUUUUUGAAGUUUAGUAUUAAUUAUGUUAUUUGAUUUAAAAUUUAUAUUUUAAUAUAAAAUUUUAUUAAUUAAUAAUGUUGUAAUAUUUUUAUGUAUGUGCUUAGUUAUUUACAAAAGUUUUAUGAAUUUAAAUUAAUGAUGACAAGUAUAAGGACCAUAAUAUAAAGUACAAAUAGUUUUGAAGUUAAGUUUGGAGUUUUUCUUUUGGAGAAGAACAUCUUGAAACUUCAAAUAUAGAGUUUUUGAAACUUCAUAAUAGAAUGUCUUUUUGGAGACGUGUGCAAAAGAUAUUUUCACAUAUUUUCAUAUUAUAGCAAAACAUUAUAUAGUCCAAAGACUUAUAAUUUUGGGUUCCAACAAUUAGCCGCCCUGCGACAAUAGUAAAAUGUGUCCAGUAAUAGAUUUGGUAGGAAUUUUUUUUAAACUUUCACACAAUACCUUCGAAAUUAUCUUGUAGAGAACACCACACGCAAUUAAAUGGUCUUGAUUUCGUCAUACGAGUCAGACUAGCCAUUUUUGGUAUUAAACAUAUAUUACACCCCAUGUUCAAAAUUACGCUAGGCGUGAGUCGGGCGGCUGGUCUAAGCUUAGCGAGUUAUCGAAAAAUCGGAGAUUAAACGGGGAGUACGCGGAGCCUAAUUUUCAAGCCUAUUACAUGUACAUUUCAAUAUAUAUAUAUAAGGGUAUAUGUAAUAUGUUACUAUAUAAGCAAUGUGGCGUAUUAUAUAUUAAAUUUUUGUAAGAUAACCGAGUUGUAAACGUGGUGUAGUGGACACUAAUGUGGUUUGAUUCAAUUUAUCUAGAGUUUGAAAAGUGUUACGUUAAUUUUUUUAUUUUAUUUAAUAUUUCUUUUGUUUUUAGUGGAUGGUAGACUUGUAAAUAAGUCUUCUUCUUCAUCAGUUUCGUGAAACAGAAGAAGAUAGACGAUGCAGGAACAAGAUUCAACUUUAUUUUGUUUGGAACUCUCAAUCCCCUUUGGAUUUUGUCUCCACCUCUCACUUCUUCUCUUGAUUUCGUGACAAAUGCUUUGAUUAGGAUUCAGACCAAAGGAUCUUGGGCUUAAUUGCGUAAAACGUUUUGGAUCUAGGCGCCCGCGUUUCACAAAUACCCUGGAUAGGCGGAAACAAUUCGUCUUACCGCACAGAGCACCCGAUCAGACCUUUUUCGCCACGGCCAUGCUCCGCUUACCGUAUACGCGUCCGAGUAAUCGUCAACUCGCCCGCGUUUUCGAACACGGAUUACACCAUUCAAGAAGGACACUAAAAUAUUCAGAAUAAUUAUCUAUCAUCUUCGGAUACACUAGCAAGCAUCAGAUCAUGCAAAUCAAGUUAAAAAAUCAAUUAUAUAUGAUUUGGUAAAACAUUAGCAUAAACAUUAUACUAUUUAUUAUCCAAUCAACAAUUUUUAGAUUAGCAUUUAAAAAACAUUUACAAAAUGCUAAUGCUCUCUCCUCAAUGCUCUCAAAUGAAGCUUUUAGCAGAGCAUUUACAAAUAAAAUAGAUAGAAAAAUAAAAAAAGUAAUUACAUAUAAUUAAUUUAUUUUAUCAAAUAAUAUCCAAAAAUUAUGUUUAUAUCGAAAAAAAUAAAUUUAUAAUUUUAAAAAUAAAAUUUUCUAUUAAAAUGUAUUUAAUUUUUUUGAAAUAAUAAUAUUUUACAUUUAAAAUAUAAUAUCAUUUAUAUAAUUAUAUAUGAUUCACAAUCUAUAGUAACAAAACAUAGAACAACAUAUAUUUAUAUAUUAUCAAUAUCUAUAAUAUUAAUUUAGAAAUAAAAAAAUUAUAUACCAUAUAUUAAUUUUUAUGAUAAUUUUAUAUAUGAAUCAUUUACUGCUCUACCAAUCAUUUUAUUAAAUAUAUAAAUGAAAGCAUACUGCUUAUAUAUCAUACUACUAAUGAUUUAUCAUCACUUGCACCAAUCAAGGCCUAUGUGAAUAUUUUUGAUAUAUUUCUCCAACGGCCAUCUUUCCAUGAACCAGCAACAAAGCUUGGAAUCUCUUGAUCAUCUUGUGAUCUUAGAUCUGGUGGAUUUUAAUCUUAUAUCGCAAUGAAAUUACCCCUAAACAUAGUUUUUCGAUAAAUUGUUUUUAGAUGAUUCUUUGCAAUGCUCGCUUUAUUAAAUAUUUCAGAAAUUUCAAUUCAAGAACACAAUAGUGUAAUGCUCUCUAUAUUGUAUAUUUCUGAAAUUUUGAUCCAAGAACACAAUAAUGCAAUGAUUUCUUUGGGUAAUUCUUUGUAAUGUUCUCUUUGAAUGAUUCUUUGAUUUAAGAACUUAUGUCGAUUAUAAAGGAAAAAAACUGGUUUUUUAUUCUUUAAAUAUUUUCAAUCAGCAUAUUUAAUAUUCAAAUUAUUCAGCUUAUUUAUUUUUGGACUAAACGUUGACUAUACAAAAUUAAGAUAAAAUAGUCCACAAUUAAAAAGAAGGAAACUAUUAAAUUAUUUUCGUUUAUUAAUGGUUGACUGUUUUGUUUCUAUAUAUGUGCGGUCAACAGUUAAUUGAAAAAAAAUUACAGAAGUAAUACUUGAAUAUUAAAGAUUUUUUUUUUUGAUAAACAAAUACUUGAAUAUUAAAGAUGCAUAUUCCAAAUACUAGGAAUUAAAAGCUCAUUUUGUCCAUAAACUGCAUGUAUACGUACGUCUUUGUAUCAUAUAUUGCAUCGAAUGUAGAAUUUAACCAAGUCUUAUUAGAUGGAAGUCAUUAAGUAGCCAUCGAAACCUAAUACUAAUAACGCUUUGGUAUAAUAAAUAGUUUAAGAAGUACAAUUUUGAAUUAACCCUAUUUGUUUUUUAAUAUUUACCUCUGUUCGAAAAACGCGCCCGUGGAACCCGAUUACGCAGCGCCGAUACGCUCGUCGGAGGUCCACCGUGGCGAUUUCAUCAUCCUCGGCCAAGAAAUCGGAUUGAUCAAAAAAUUCAUUCUUUUUAAAGUUUUAGGUGUUUAAAUCGCAUGCUGGAAAGUAGAUCUAUGAGUUUGAUGCAUAAACAACAAGAAAAGCUUAUAAAAUUUGUGGUUUUUGACAAAUCUUUGUUGAAGGCGACGAAAAUAGUUUUGCAGAAAACCUAAAUAAAACGCAAGGAAAAUAUGACUUUAUUACAAUUAUGCCAUUCACAUAAAAAACGCACAAAAAUAUCCAAAAAGUACCUUAUGGGCUUCAAUCACCGGUACAAAUAAACUAACACCUGUCCAUUUACCAUGGGGUUACAUUACUUUUACUUGUUUCUUUCCCUAACUUCACAUAUAUAUAGCUAUAUGUAUUUAAAUUUUAAAAUAAUAAUUAAAAUUACUCCCCGCGUAUACCUCGCUUAAUCUCUGAUUUUUCGAUAACUUGCUAGAUCCGGAAUUACCGUCCGACUAACGCCUAGCGUAGUUUUAAACAGGAAAUUUACAGCCGAAUGUCAUUGACAAUAACAAUGCUCCUUCAAUCAAUCAUUAAAAUCCAUUUCGUAUUUAAGUUUGUGGCCAGAAUUUUCUUCAUCUACAUAAAAAGGUAAUGAUUAUUAAUUUCACCAGUUCUGCAUAUGUAAUCACACGAAAUAUAAAAACAUAAAAUUGAAACCAAACUGAAUUCAUUUGCGAUUACAUUCUAAUGUACUAUAUAACGAACCAUGUCAAAUAAUUAAUUUGUUUUCAGUUUUAUGUAUAGUAAUAAUAUUUACAUAUAAUUAUUAACCAAACCAAGUCAAGUGUUAUAUAUUAAUUGUUUGGGAAAAUAAAAAAUCUCCACAUGAUCUUAAUUAGCUCAACUAAAAAUCAUUUUGUCUAACAAAAUACUAAAUUAACUAUAUUUUUCUUAAAAUAAAUCGUUAGAUUGAUACAUGCGGACUGUUAGUAAUAUGUAUAGUAAUAGUAUUUACAUAUAACUAUUAACAAAACCAAGUCAAGUGUUACAUAUUAACCAAACCAAACAAUUGUUUGGAUAAAUAAAAAAAUCUACACACAAUCUUAAUUAGCUCAACCAAAAAUCAUUUUUUCUAACAAAAUACUAAAUUAACUAUAUUUUUUCAAAAAUAAAUCGUUAGGUAGAUACAUGCGGAAUGUUAGUAAUAUAUUGGAUUGAAGAUAUAUGAAUGCUUAAUCAGCUCCAAAGAAUAUUGCAAUGUCAAACACUUUACCUCUAACUUAGCUUAACACCACCCUAAUUUUUGGCUGUCACAUAAAACAAAAAGACUUCGAUCUAUAACAUAUAUAAUCUAGAUUAACAACCAUAAUAUUUAUUUCAUAUAUACUAUCACAUAAAUGGAAAAGAAAUUAGCUUUCUUUUAAAGAAAUUAUAUUAGCUUUAAAAACUUUAUACAACAUUCCUAUUUAUAAGGAAGAUAAUCGUUUAAUAGGAUACAAAAUAAAUAUUCUAUCGAUUAAACCAAUCAUAAUCAAUUUUGUAAAGUAUUUAUUCAAAUCUAAAAAUUCUAAGCUUAACUAACCAAAUAUGAGAUAUUUUAAAAAUUGUCAGAAUCGGUAAUUUAUUGUAUAUAUUCUAUUAAAAUUGAAGUACAAAAUAAUAUUUAUAUAUUUGUAAUUGAUUUUUUCAAUCUUCUUCCUUCAUUUUAACUAAUUUAAACCAAUUUAUUUAUUGUAUUUUCCAAAUAAUUCUACUUCAUUUAUAUUUAUUAUAGAGUACAAAAUAGAACUUACAUACUCUUAAGUGUUUUUAUUACAUCUUUUGCAACUCUUCUUUGUCACUCUUCCUAAUUACUUCAUCAACUAUAUUAAGCAUAAUAAUUUGACAACACUUAUUUUAAUUUUUACCAAAAUAAUUUCACAAGUUUGAAUGAAAUUGAUUAAUUCAUGACAAGAAUUCAAUCGAUUAAUAAUUUUUUUAUUUGUAUAAAGAAUCAGUUAGACAUGAGCAUUCAGGUAACUGUUCGGGUACAGAUCGGUUUUUGAGUAUCAGAUUUUAGGGUUUAAAAUUAAAUUUUGUUUGGAUAUUAUAAAUUUUUGGACGAAGUUCGGAAUCGGAUCAUUUUGGAUUAUGAUAGACUUGUAAGGACCUAAAAAUAUCUAAAUAACCUAUGUAUUUAUAAUGUCAUUAUAUAAUUUAUAAAAAAGUAAAAACUUAACAUCAACACAGACGUGCAGGUCAAGCUCUAGUUUUGUUUUAAUUAAAAAAAGACAAUACCUAGGUUAAGGUGUAGUUUUGUUUUAAUUAAAAAAAGACAAUACCUAGGUUAAGGUGUUUGGGUAUUUGUGUAAAUCUUUGUGAAAUGAUUAUUAAACAUGUACCUGAUUUAAUACCCAAAAUAUAUCAAAGUAUUAAUAAUUUUCAAAUAGAAGUUAAAAAUAUCUAAAAUUCUUAGAAAAAUCUUAAAAUUUUAAUUUAAUUUUAAUUUAAUUUUAAAUUUUAGAAAAAGUAAGUAAAGUGUGAUAAUCUUAAAUUGUGUAAUAAAAGUUUAUUGUAAAAUUUUAGUUUGAAAAUGUAUAGAUUGAUAGAUAUGAACUUAAUAUAUUUUUCAAUACAUAAAUUUAUAUGAAAACAAUGAUCGUAUUUAUUUUAUAAAACAAUAAUAAUUAUUAAACAUAAAAGUUGGGUUAGAGAAUUUAUAUCAAAAUGGACUAAUAACUGAAUUUUUUUGGUUAACUACUAAUUGAAUUCUAAAAAGAUCAAAAAGUCAUUCUUAAUAUUUUGGGCCAAGAAAAUUAAAAAGACUGCCAUUUGUUAUUAUUCUGUUAGGUUUUUAAACUCUCUAGGAAGAUAAAGAUUAAUCGUUUAUGUUUUUUGUUAGCAUAAGUUUAGGAAAUAUUUUGGUUGUUUUAGUUAAUAUUAUUAGCAUGCCAAUCGUUUGUCACAUUCCCUUUAUUCAUGAAUAUAUUCUAAAUUUUAAUAAUACGGAAUUUGUUAAUUCUAAAUUUUAAUACAUCUACUCUACUAAUUAAUACAUCUGCAAUAUUUCGUAUAUAUAUACUUCAAUGUUUUAUAACAUGUGUCAAUGAUAAAUAUGGAUGGAUUCUAUCAUCCACAUAUAUAUUGUCCAUUACUGAAAAAUGCAUGAUGAUGAUGUAUGCAGGGCCGUCUCAAACUUUACGGAGACCCUGUUCAAAAAAAAAUAAGACCCUUUAUAAUAAUCUAAAAUAAUUUAUGUUUUUUCUGACAGAAUAUUGUAAUAUAUAAUAAAUACACCAAUCUAAUUUAAUUGGAAGAAGCAUUUUUUUCUUUUAUAAUUGAAAACUUAUGAAAAGCAUCUUUUCGGGACUAUGAAUUUUUCAGUUUUUUUUUCUUUUGAUUCUUUUUGUAUCUACAGUUAAGAGUUAUAAUCUAUAAAAAAACACAAACAAAACAAUAGAAUCUUGAUAGUGGUUAGAAAAAAAACCGUGGACUCUUGAUUUGAUUAAACAAGAAAUUGGAGACUCCUCAGUUUUAUUCUUUGAUAGAUGCUUAGACUAAUGUUUCUUUUUUGUGUUUACUAUUUUUUGUAAAAGUUGCUGAAAAAUUAUAUAUUUCCCUCUUUAUUUACAAUCACUAAUUAAUAUAGUUUCCUAAAUAUAAUCAAAUUAGAAUAUUAACUUUCUAAAUUUACAUUGAAUAAUAAAUCAAACACCAACAGCUAUUUUUUACUUUCCAAAAUAUAUAAUUGAUAUAAUGUUAAUUUCUUCCUGACUUAUUGCAUUUUUGUUGGUUAUGUAAACAAAAUCAAAUUUGUAAUUUACAUAUAUUGUUUAAUAAAUAUGAAAAUUAAAUUAAAUAUAGUUAUCUGAUUUUUAAUAAAUACAUGAUUUUAAAUUUAUAGCUAUUACUAAAAAAAAAUUAUGAGUCCUCUAAAAUUUUGGACCAUGUUCGACCGCUCCACUUGCACGUGCUAAAAGACGGCCCUGGAUGUAUGUGUAGAUUUGUUUUAUUAGUGUAUUGUAAAGAAUAAUAAAUAAGAGUCCAAGAUUCAAAUGCAAAAGUAAUUGACAUAAUUUUAUUUGGACAGUCGAAGAUUCAAAUACAAAGUUAGAGUUAUGAAUAAUCCAAACUCGUAUUAAUGUUUUCACGUAGGAGAAGUAUUGUUAUCAUUGUAUAACCGUGAAUAGACUUUAUUUGUAGAAGGAGAGUUAUAAUGUACUAGAUACGGACCUUUUUUGAUGUUUUAACUUUACGAAAAACAUAAAAAGAAUGAAAAUAUUUUUCACAUUAGUUUUUAAAUUUUUUUAGUAUAUAUUGGUGUAAGACUUAUUUUAGUAUAAUAAUCAAUUUUCUUACAUAAAUUGUGAUUAGUAUUACUACUUCAGUAAUGGUGUUUUAAAAUAGUCUAUUAAUUUUUUUAUUUUUCUAUAAAUAGUUCACUUUAAAUUAUUUUUAAUAUUAUAGUUAAUUAAAACAUAUAGAAUUGAUGUAAACUAUCUAUAUUAUUUAUAUUGUGUAAGAAAAUUCAAAAAAAAUCAAAAUUAAUGUUAGACGAUACUAAUACUCUCAAAAUUUUGCACAUGAUAUGCUAUCAAUAAAAAGGCCUCACUCAAGCAAAAUAAUGUUGGCUUCAAAUAAUGGUGAGGGUUAAAGGGUAUGAGAGUGCUAUUUGGGUAAACAAAGAUAUAGGUCGCUGCAAAGACCCCCUCUGGUGCUCUUUCUCGCCCAAAUGAUCACUUUCCUACUCCUUUUUUUUUUAUCCCAAAUGCCUCCAAAUACUUCGAAGAACUCCAAUGGAUACUCCCACACCUAAUAAAAACUUAUGCAAUGCAAAAGGGACCUAAAAAAUGCCUCAAUUCUAUUCUAAAUGAUCAAAAUGUAUAGGAAUGAAUGAUCAAAACAAUGUAAAUAUGCAAGAUAUUAGACACCAAUCAAUAUGCAUUAUUGAUAUUCAGCUAAAUAUCAAAUAUAUUGCUUGAUAACCAUCAAAUUUGUUUCCCGCUAUACCCUACCUUAGCAUCAAUAGUGUGACUAUAACCUCUUUCUAUAUAUCAUAUAUUUCUGAAUUUUUUUUGAUAUACAAUAUUUUGUAGAACACUAUUGUCGAUAUGUUUUGUGUCUACUUUAAAAAUUCUGAAUUCAUGCAGUUGUUGUGACUCUUUGAUAGUGAAGUGUACAAUUGUCCAUGAGAGAUCAUCUUGCAUCUGUUGAUGUGAGACUUGUUUUAGGAAUAAGAAUCUGUUGAUUAUUGAUCUCGGUUAGGAUUUUUCUGCUUCAGUAAUCAUGUUGUCUAGGCUAGUUAUUAGUUAAAUUUUUACAUUGCAAAUUUCUUUUCGAUGAUUUAAAUUCCUUAAUAACAUGACUGAAACAUCUAUUUUGAGAUCAAGUUCGUGAUUUGGAAUCCCUGAAAAAAUUAACAUAUUUAAAAAUCUGUGGGAUAUAGAAUAUGCUGAUUUAUAACUUCUUCUUUGUUGUUACCAAUACUAUCAGAACUCAAAUGUUCCUUUUGCUCACCGUCUAAGCACUUUAACAUAUAGUUAUCUAUUUUACCAACCCUUUCAUUCCUUAUUCUUUGGUGUAAGCAUUGCUUUUUUGAUGAGAUAAUUCUUGUCUUCAAAAGUAAAUUUGGAAAUCUUGAUAUAUAGACAUUGUAAUGCAUUCAAAAGGAGCUGCAUUCUUUUGCAAGAGCAAUUUGUUGUCUAUCAAAGAAGGUAAAUCAUGUGAACAUCAGUUUAGAUGUGAAAGGACAUGCAGAAAAUCUCACCUAAAUAGAAAAGUCGAUUAUUCAUAAUAAAUUAACAUUAACUUAACUACAACAAUAUAACGAAUUUAUAUUGUCGAUAAGAACAAACACAUAUAAGCAUAAUAGUCACAUUAACUUUUGUACAGCAGAAUAACUGCAUAACAUCUAUUUGACUAUAUGUACAAACGCCAAAGUGUAAUUGUGGCAAUAACUAACGUACAUCAUCAUUACAAUUAUGACAAAAAAAUCAACAUCAGUUUAAGAAGAAAAAAAAACAUGUGAAGAUCAGGAAACCUAGUUAUUUCAAUCAUAUGUUACAAUGCUAAAAAAAAAAUCAUCCUUUGUCGUUCACAUGGAUGCAGAGUUACCGAUCUGGUUUACAGAGUCAACAUGAGUUUGUAAAUUCUUUGCUGUCAAAAAAAAAUCAUAGUUUACAAUUAUUUUUUCUUUAGGAUUUUAGAAAAGGGAAAUUAAUAUUAAAUAAAUUAUUUUAUAAAUAUUUUUUUGUUUAGGAUUAACAAAAAGGAAAAUUUCUAGAAACAGCUACUAUUAAAUAAUUUUUGAAAUUAAUACUUACUAUUAAAUCAUUUUUAAAAUUCGUUUUUAUUAUCUUAGCAUAUAUAUAUUUAAUCAUGAGAGAUUUUAACACAUGUCGAUAUAUUAAAAGGAAACCCACUAUCACAUAAUUAUCUGCUUAAGAUUUUUAAAAAGAAAAAAUAUUAUUAAAUAAUAUUUACAUUUACUUUUUUACAAAUUUUUUUUUUUGUUAUUAUCUAAUUAUAUAUAUUUUUAAUUAGGAGAUAGUUUAACACAUAUCAUAAUUUUGAAUAUAUAUUUGCUACAUGUCACAAUCGUGUUAAUUAACAACUUUGAAAACCAAACUUUAUAUAAUAAGAUAACCAAAAUAUAAGGAAUGAUAAUUAUCUCUUAUUUCUCACGUUAGGUCCAAAUUUAAAUAAUAACUAAAUAAAAAGUAUGAUUCUAAAUUAAUAGAUUAGAUUAAGUGGAUGAAGUUGAAUGGGAAAAGAUCUGACUGUUUGCUCCAAGAAGGAAUGUAUGUACAUUCAUUUAACACACAAUAACUGCAAAUAGAGAUCAUAACAUUGAUAUGUUCCAUUUGUUGUUCAUUCAUCGAACAGGCUUUGUGUCGAAGCUGCUUAAACAAAUGGCAAAAGCUUGGAAUGCGGAGAUCGGGUAACGAUAAUCCAUGGUGAAUGUAUCUUUCCCUAUCUUCCCAAACUGCAGUAUCACUCUCUCUUGUUCCUCUUCAGGGAUGUUCAUGUCCUUCCCUGCUUCUGCAGCAGCAGCCAUUAGCUGGAAGUUUUUCACGGAGGCAACCGUGACUCGUCCUUUGAAGUUAAGACACCAGCACUGAAGCUGCUCGUGCCAUCUGGGCAACUUGUUUUUCAGGACUAAUGGUUCCUUCACGACGGAUUCUCCUCCCAAGUUCCCUGACCAGAAAUCAAUCAGCCCUCUCUUCUUCUUGCUUCCUAGGUUUGACAACUCGGUCGGAGUAUGAAUCUGUCCCCCUUCUUGAAUAGAAGAAACUGGGAUAGUGUUCAUGAUACAUUGCAUUCUUCUUGGACCUCUGGUUCUAAGGACAUUCAGCUCAUACAAGAUCGAAGCCAUGCUGUAACUGUGAGUAGAUGAAGUUACCCAUGGAGACACACGCAUCGUCUGUGAUAGUUUCUUGUUAAAUGAUCUUCGGGAAUCAACCGGAGAAGGUUGGUUUUCGUAAACCGUGAACUUAGUUCCAAGGAAAUUCGAUCUAUCCACCCAACAACAAGAAGGAAAGUUAUAAAUGUCAUGGCGAUAUUAAACGAUCAAAGAUGACAAAUAAGGUACCUUAGUUUCCCAAUAUAGUUACUGCUACUUCUUGAGAAGUCCUUUCCAGACAAAGAUACAAUAAACUCAACACCAGUCGCCCUCCUUACCCUCUUAGCCGAUAGCAAGAGCUUACUCUUGUCCCCGGUAAGCGCUGAAACCAUACAGACAUUAAGAUGACAACACAUAGUCCCAAGACUCACAAGAAGUAAGAGAAGUUAAAACUACCAGGGCUUAAACCAAGAUAGAGACGGUAUAUCCCAGUGGCUCUCUCCCGUUUGAUAAAGCAUUGAAUCGGAUCAUCUCUAGGGCCAGGCUGAGACAAGAACCCCCAAUGUCUUUUAGCUCAUCACUUCCAACGAUUACAAGAACGUUCUAGAAAGAGUAUAAACCUGUUUUAAUGAAACUGGAAAAGUGAGGAGACCAGAGAUCUCAGGAACCUUAACAACUUCUUUAGUCAUCUCCCUCCAGGCCUUACAAACCGAGGCGCAAGCAACAACGUCUCUCCUCCCCGGCCAUGAGGUCUGACCAGACUCGAUUCGAUGGAUGAUGUCAAGAAGCAGCUCCGGAGGCAAAUCAACCCAAACGCUCUGAUAUAAACAAUCAUCAGCAGCUGAUGGAGAAGGAGAAGAUCCUUCUGGAGCAAUGUGAGACCUUCCUCGUCUACCAUUGGCUUUGUUGUUACGACCCCUAAGCUCGCGUACUAUGUUCUUCAACGGCAUUUCUACAAUUCAACUUCUCCUACGGACCCCCAAAUCGAUCAAACGAAGCAAAAAAAAAAACCCUAAUUUGUACCUUCAACAAACGAACAAAGAUUAAAUCAUGAAAAGGGCAUUAUCGUGUAAUGAAAACGAGAGAGAGAGAGAGGGGAUGUAUGUACCUAGAGAAGCGACAAAUCCAUGGGGAAUCACGACGAUCGGGGUGAAUUCCGAUUAAGAAAGUCUCGAAUUGAGAAAUUUUAAAACGCUCCUUGAAAGUAAAUAGAGCCGCCACCACCACAACUCCUCCGAUGUUGUUAACCGUCGCCGUCGUUAGGUUUGAAUCCCGACGACGACAAUGAUUUCGAGGAGAAGGGAGAGAGAAAGAGGAGACGGGAAAGUUUCCGUUUUCUUUUUUAUUUAUUUAUUUAAUUAAUAAGAGUAGGCGCGGCCCCAUCUCUCCCUCCUUUCAAUUGAAAUUAGUAAAUUACUCAAAAUAGGUUUUUAUCUCUUUUUUUUAUUUUAUUCUCUUCCAUUUUGGUCAAAUUACUUUCUCACAAGUUUUUGUUUAAGUUAUUAACAUAAAAAGAAACUUUCUGUCUUUUUAUUACACCAUUAGACAGAUUUCACUACUGAGAUAGUUUGUGGAAGUAAAAUGACAACACUAACCCUAACAACACUCACCUUUUGUAGAUUGUGAAAAGCACACUAUCUCUUUUAUUCUUCUUUUAUUUACAGUCAUACUUUUUUUUAUAAAUAAAAUUGUUUUCUUCUUCUUUAUCUCUUUCAUCAUCUUCUUUUCUCUUUUCCUAUGUCGAUAAAGUGGUUAUGGAUCAAAUUAAACUGAUUUGAAACAAAGAAACAAAAAUCUAAGCGUGCAUACACCUCUCAAGUUCUGAUGGUGGAUUUUCUGAAUCAAAGUCUUAAUUCGUUGGUCUAUCUUAUUCUUCUCCAUCUCUACCUUCAUCCUCCACAAGAAUAACCACCAGAGAAAUAUCAUUAAAACGAGAUGUAGCCAUAAGUACAAAUGAAGGCAAAGAGAAAGUGGCUAAGAAACCCGAUGUAUCUCCACCUCCUGUUCAAUCUCCGUCUCAGCCGUAGAGGAAGCUAGAUGAUGUAAAUCCAGAGAGAUUGGAACUAAGUUGACCGCAGCUUGGCGAGGUAAGAUUACAUUUAAUAUAUUUGUUUUCUCCUGCUUAAUACUGAAUUUCAAUUAUAAAGUUGAUCUCUGAUUCCAAAAGAUGCAGCUUGCUUCCUUUAGAUUUGUUUUUUAUUUAUUUAUAUCAACUCAGCUUAUUAUGUAUUACCUUUGAAACUUAGCUUUAGAUGAUUCACAAAGUAUAUAUGAUUUUUGAAUCUAGUAUUUUGAAAUGACUUACAAAGCUAAUUCAGAUCUGUAUGGAUCCUAGAGAAACAUAAGGUUCUGAUUUUAUGUUAUAUUGUUAUAUGAUGUAUUUGUUUUGUUGGAAAUGUUGGUUUGAACGAUGUGUCUUGAUUGAAUUAUCUAUUAUUCUAUUUUUUUGUUCUUGGACGGACAACUCCAUAAUGUGGACAAGUAUUGGCAUGGAGUCAAAGACAAGAAGCUAUUCAUGUGUACGCCGCGUGUAAGUUGUCAAUGUGUACGCCUUGUGUAAAUUGUCCAUGUGGACAUCUCAGUUGUCCAUGUGGACAUCUCAGUUGUCCAUGUGAACGACAUUUGGUGGGAAUGUCUUGUACUAAGUAAUAUUAUUAUAAUUUUUUUGAUUGUGAAAGCCAUGUAUAAGAAAUAUCAGAUGUUGCAUUGUCCGUACAUAUAUUCUUGAACACUUGUUUGGUACCACAAAUGCCAGCUGUGGCGCAUCGACCAAAAAACGGGUACCCAUUGUGUAUGAGAGAUAUACAACAUUGAAGCUGGCUUAGUAAGAAGAUUUGGUAUGUUUUAGAGGAGAAGCAUUGUCCAAGUAAAAUAAACACUCGCAUUUUUUGUUUGCAAGUGUUUUACAUGUACAUGUACUCGUAGGUGUCCACAUGUACGCAUGCACGUUGAUGUACACAUGUAUACUGAUGUUUAGUCUUCAAGACUUGAUUCAAUCAUAUUUAUUUAUGGUGUAAUAGUUGCAAAUAACUUAAUAAAAUACAAAUCUUUCCAUCUGAUUCAUCCAAUUUUCUUUUGAUAUGGAAAGUUUGGUAUCCAAUUCGAUCUAUGUUGCUAAGAAGGAAAAAAAUUGGAGCUUUUACAUACGUAGUGAGGACUUUUUUUUUUGGACAAACCGUAGUGAGGACUCUCUUUGCUUCAUAUAAGUGAAAAAUUGUAAUGAAAGUUUAAGAAGGAUUAUUAUCAAAGAAUUUAUAUUUAUCUUACGUCUCUUUUUUAAACUGAUGUACACGUGGACAGUCAAACAUUGUGUACACAUGGAUAGUCAAAUAUAUAUUUACACGUCGAUGGUAUUUGUCAGUAUAUAUGUAAAACAUUCAAAUGCUUUCAUAUGUGUGUAUUAGAUUACUAAAUGUUAAUAUUCAUUGCAACGGCAAAUCAUUGUCCAUCUUUUACUCUUUUGUACACAUAAAUGUACAUGUAGAUACUGAGAAUUAUGCGUACAUGUGGAAUACUAUUUUGUAACAGUAUAUAUGUUGAUCAGUGAAAACACAUCAAGAGACGUAAGAUAAAUAUAAAAUAUUUGAUAAUAAUCCUUCUUAAAUUUCAAUUACAACUUUUGACUAUCUAUGUGUACACAAUGUUUGACUGUCUACGUGUACAUCAGUUUAAAAAAUGUACAUGUACACUGAUUACAAACCAAACAAUGAUCUGUGUAAUUCACAAAGACGAAUAUGUGCAUUCAAAAAUUACAAAUCUUUACACCUUUAACGAUGACAACCGGAGUCGUUGUUCAGUUCAAUCAUAACCGCUUCAUUGAAAUUAUAAGGAAGCAGCCAUAUGCACAAACCGAGUUCAUCGAAGUUAUCUAUCCAUCACCAGAACGAUGGUUAAAUCCACAGUGGAAGAUGAGACGAGGAUUCCAAACGUUGAUGUUGAUGAUUCCAUACAAACUUGAUAUCUCAUAAUCAUACCUCACAUUUACCUUCGUCAUCCUUGUCGUCGCCGUCUUCAUCAUCAACUCUGUCAUCCUCUAUUUCCUCAUCUUAUUCUUCUACUGGUUCUAUAUGAGGCCGACUAAGGGUUGUAAAAUCGAACUCCAUCGUCACGUGUUUUUCAUCUUUAUCAUAAUCUUCAUCUUCUUCUCCACAUGAUUUGUUUUACAGAAAAAAAAUUGUACGAGAAAGACAAGAAAAGAAUUUAAGAGAUAAGGAAAGAGAAAGAGAAAGAGAAAAAGAGAUUGAUUUAUGGCCACAUAAUUCUUUUUUUUGGUAUUUUUGUUAGAUUUAAAAGAAAAAUAAUGAGAAAGGGUAAUAAUGAAUUUUCAUACGCUGAAAAGAGGAGAGAAGGUGUUGAAAUGAGAGAAAAAGUGUGUAGGUAGUUGAAACUGUCCUAGAGUGAAAUAAUAAACUCAAAAACUGCCUUCUAGUGUAAAUCUUUCUUUUUGUUUUUGUAUUUUAUUCUUCCAACAAGAAAAUACUUUAAAGCAAAUCUCCUAAGAAAAACACCGAAAACCUUUUUUGACCAAAAAGACGCAAAAGGAAAAUGAUUUUAAAUAAAUUUAUUAAAGAGGUAAAUGACAAGUAUACCAUUACUUUAUAUACGGUAAAACUCUAUAAAUUAAUAAUGUUAAGACAAGGAUAUUUUAUUAAUUUAUAUAAUUAUUAAUAUAAAAUAAAUUUUAUUGUAUUAUUUGGUGUACAUAAAAUAUGUUUCAUAUAAUUGAAGUGUUUUUCAAGAUGUAAUUUUACUAAAUGUUAUCAGAAUAUAUUAAAAAUGUUAAGAAAACAUAGAUAAAUUCUAUUGCUGAUAUAAAAUAAACAAUAUAUUAAUGUGUUUAUUAAUUUACUGAGUAUUAAUUUAUAUAGUUUCUACUGUAUAUAAAUAUAAAUAAAUAAUAAAAUAUUAUUUCCCAAAAGAAAUUUAUUCAAUAUUCAAAAACCUUUUUCAAACACAAAUUUCAAAUUUUCUUCUUUUUUCCAAAUUUUAUAUCGAAAUGUGAAAAUUCUUUAUUGAAAAUUUAAAAUUAUUAUUUAAAAUUUUAAAUCUUAAACUUUAAAUCCUAAACCCUAUCCCCAAACAUUACCCCUAAAUUUAAACCCUAAGUUUAGAUUAUUUAACCAUAAGGGUAAACUUAUCUAUUACUUCUUUAAUAAAAUAUUUGAUUAUUUUGAUCCUUGUAAGCUAUUUUGUGAUUAAAAAAUUAAUGCUAUCAUAUGGUUUAUCUAUUGGCCAUAUUAAAAGAGUAUUUUUAUUAUAAGAAAUUGAGAAAUACUCUAUGAUAAAUAUACAAAACUUUAUCACAAAAAUAGUUCUAAAAGUCAAAAUGAUCAAAAUAUGUUUUAUUAACGAGAUAAAAGAUAUUUUUACUGUUACAGUUAACUAAGUUUUUUAACACUGGUUAGUUAUGCUAUUACAAACUAUGAAAAACAUUACAUAUACGAUAUUACAGCCGACAAUUAUGUUUGUCUUAUGAGGAUUCAUGUCUGACUACAUCACCUAGAGUCGCCCUAUGAGAUCCAUUCCUGAUGGUACUCUUUGCGCCAUGUCGAAGAUCUCUUAUAAGCUUUUUCUCUAAUAUUCUGCAUAAUUUGCCUUCUACAGAAAUUGAAACUCAGAUCUCCUGAUUUAAAAACAUUAAUGAACCUUUAGUUAAACCACUGGUUCAAAGGGGCUUACGGUCAACUAAUCUAGACUAGGUUUUAGUUAGGGAGAUAGGUUUAUAGUGUUUAUAAAUUUAAAAUAAUAAUUUUUUUAAAAAAUAGGAAAAAAGUUAGGAAAAAAAUAAUCAUAGAGAACUGAUGUGUGGCGUCUAGAACGUGCACCUUGAAAACCAGCCCUUCAAAAAAUUUCAAUAAAAUCCAUGAGUCCUUCCUUUGCCUUGCAACAUCUUCUUCCACAGGUCAAUAGUUGAAACUCUUUCCGGAUGAACGUUGAAUAAUGCUUGAGAAACUAGGUUUACACAUCGGGAAAAUGUCGAUGGAAUUCUCUAUGAGCCUUGAGAACCAAGUCAAAGCCGGUCCGUUAAGAAUUUCCACGAACAAUUAAUAGUAUACUGCAUCUUUCUCUUCGACGGUAAAGUGUGCUUGUCCCACGGUUAUAUUGGACAUGGUCAUGUGAUCACUAGGAUCAGAUUCGCCUGAGAAAGAGGGAUCUUUAGCAUAUAUGUAGGACGAACUCGGCCAUUUUUUGGCAAGGGUGUCUUCUGUUUUUCUUUGAGGACACGCUCUAGCUCAGGAGCCGAACUCGUUACAGGUGAAAUUUUGACGAGCCAUCCAGUAUUGUGUCCCGAAGAACUUUGAUUUUUUGAAUCGUUGCCUGGUUGGUUUGAUGUGUCUGUUGAUUAAGAUAUUCCAUUAGUUUUUGCGUCAAUGUCAUCGUGGUGGUGACAUCCACAACCGGAAGGAUAGUGCAUGUCCCUCUUCGAUCAUCGUCUCCAGCCAUCUCUGAUAUUUCCUGGCAUUGCUUUGUAAUUCCACUCAAACGACGCCAAUCGUUUCAUCUCUUAACAUCGCCCAAGAAACACUUUCUAUCCUAUUCAUCAUCUCCCGCAACACUCCUCUCUCUCUCUAGCAUCACCUCUACACUCCUCUCUCCGGGCCAGGAUUGCCCAUAUGUCUCCUUACUCCUCAAAGGUGCCCAUACCUCCUCAUAACUCCUCAGCAUCACCCACUUCUCCAUUUGUCGUGUUCUUGCUCGAAUCUUGAUCGUUCUUCGUUUUAUCGCAAUCGUAGUUGUUGUUGAGAUUUUUUUCAAAAAAGUUAAUUUGUUUUUAGUUUUUGUAAAAUCUAGCCAACUGUAGAGUUGGAAACUGUUAUUUUAAACAUCUAAUAUGUUUUAGACAAAAUAAAAUGAUUUUUCUCUUUGUAAACUAACAGCACAAAAAAUGCAAUUCGGAGCAAAACGACGAUAUUUCCAAGAAUAGUCAGCGAAACCUUAAUUCUCAAAACAGUCCAAAACAAUCUAAAGCACGAAACAGAACUUUUCACUUAACGUGUAAAGUAACCAAAUAUUAAUGACAUUUUACUUUACUUAGAGAGGAAUAAAGAAGAAAUUAAGAUAAUGAAAGAUUUUCGAAAGAGAUAAACUCGACUCUCGACAAAGAAAGGAAAAUAUCAGAGGAAAUAUGGAAACAAAGCAGAUGUGGAUCAAUGGCAAUAUGGUCGGCCUUGGAAGAAUAUAUAAACAAGGCUAGGCCAGAGAAAAAGGGGGCAAAAAAUUAGCUCUCGAAAGUCUAUGCACUAAAGAAACCUUAAGUUUUAUUUUUGUCUGUUUGCUAAUGAGCUGCAACCCACCUAGGAUUUCUAGGCUUAUGUGGUUAGUCUAGCGAACUUAGAUAGAUUUCGCUACUUUCGCUUAUUCGACUUCCGUUGUAAUUUUGCUAUCCAGAUCUCCUAGUAUAUAAGCAUUAAUGAUAUGUGAUGUCUAAAACGUGCACCUUGAACAAAAUUUUGGUUUGGGUUUAGUUUGGGUUUCAAGUUCAGGUUUUUUUGCUGAGGCCUAACCCUACCAACAUAAGAGAGUUUAAGUGAGGAAAUUUUAUUUAUCAAUUUUGUUUCCUAAGAUUAUCAUAUAGUUCUUCAGACAAGUGUAGAAAGGGCAGAAGAAAAGUAAAAUUAAUUCAAAUAUACAAUAAGCAUCAACUAACAUCGACUUAGAAACAAAAUUCCACAUUGACUUAGUGAACAUAUGCAUCCCAAUCCUAAAAUUGUAAACUCUAUGUUUCAUACGUUUACGAUUAGAUUAUAGGUCAAAUACAUAAGGACAAUAAUAUUUAUGUAUAAAUAUAAACUAGGUGUUUGCCCGCAAUUUUGCGGAUAGUUAUAUUAUAUAAAGAUAUAUAUCUUAACUUUACACUGUUAUAUUUUUUGAAUAAUAAUUAGAAAUUUAAAAUAUUUGGAUAAUCAAAUAUUUGGAUAAUCAAAAAUUUGGAUAAUCAAAAAUUUCAGUAUAUAUUUUUAGAAAAUAUGUGAAAUUUAAAAUAGUUCAAAAACAUAAACCUUAGUCAUUAAAAUUUUUUCUCUUACAGAAAAGAAUAUUAUAAUUAAUUCAGAUAAUUGGUGGUAAAAUUACUUUAUAUUUUAGUUUAACACAUGAAAAACCGAAAAUACUCUAGCUCUCAAGAGAGAGAAAAAAAAAGAGUGCAUUUUUUGUGUAACUUCAAUAUGACCAAUACAAUGAUCGUAGGCUUUUAUCAUGAAAGAUCUUUUGUAAACAGUUUUGUGUGGGCUUUAAAAACAUAAAAUUUAUAAUAAUUUCUUACCUACAAAUAUAAUUCUUUUAUAUAAUAAUAUAUAACCAUUGAAUUUAUUUUCUAUAAAAAUACUAAAGUAGUUUGUUUAAUUAUAUAUAACUAAUUGAUAAAAAUAAAGAAAUUGAUAUAACAUACAUAUAUAUAUAUAUAUAUAUAUAUAUUCUUUCUCUAAUUCUACAAUUAGUUACCAUAAAUCAUUAUUUGUACUAUCAUUUGUGUUAUUUGGUAAUUUGUACUAAUUAGUUCUAGAGUUACCUUUUAUUUUUAGAUCUGAUUAAAAAAAUAACUAAUAAAUUUUAACAACCAAUCAAAUUAUAACUAUUUUUAAAAAAUAAACCUAUUAAAGACACAUAAUCAAAAGUUUAUUAAAUGACUUCUCAAUUAAUAUAUGGUAGGAUUUAUCUCUUUAAAACCAAGGAUUAAUUUGGUUAAGUUAAACAUAAAAACAUGUAUUAGAAAAUGGUAGUUUAAGCAAUUUUCUCAUAAUUUGUCCCAAAUCACACUUUCUCACUCAUUAUUUUUAAUUUAGUGUUUAACAUAAAACUCACUAUUUUAUCAAACAUUAACUCAUUCAACCAAAUGCUUUUAAUUAAAACUAAUCAUAGUUUACAUAUCUUUUAAAAUUAUUGUUUUAAUUUAUUUUAAAUUAAAUUAAAACAUAUCUAUAUUAAUUAAAUCUAUUAACUAAUAAAAAAAAAUAUUUCAAUUUUUAAAUAACUAAAUGUCGUUAUUUUAGGCAUAUAUACUUAAUAUUAAUGUGAGAUCCAAUAUUAUAUGAAAUAAAAUGUUUUUUAUUUGUAUACAUUUUGUUAAAAUUUUAUUAUCGUACAUUUUAAAAGUUUAUUAUAGUUUAAAAAAUACAUCUCACUAAUAUUUUAAAUAAUUUUUUAUUACUUUCAAUUUACAUUAUAUUUUUCAUCUUUGACUUUAACAAUUGUAGAGAUGGUCAUUUUUAUUGAACUUCCUUAAUAAAUUUAUAUCACAUUGUCUUUAGAAAAUAAUUGGAAUUUUUUUAGAAUUAUAUAUUUGACUGUUUUGCAUUCAUUUGACACAUUUUUAUACUAUAUAUAUAGUGAAUAAGUGAAUUUAAUUAAUAUUAUUAAGUUUAGAUUAAUUAGUUUUCUAAAAUAUAUGAUUUAUUUUAUUCACUGCUAAUAUAAAGAUAAUAAAAACCGUUUUUCUAAUUGUUUCUAUAGUAUCAUAUGUAUUUAUAUGUAUCUUAUCAAUUUAUAUAAUGUAAUCUAGAUAUUUAAUUAUUUCUAUAAAAAAAUUAUGUUAAUUCAUCUAUAUUUAAGAUGCUAAAUUGUAUGUUUGGAAAGAUAGAUUAGAUUAGAUAAUUCUAUGAAUAUUUUCAUUUUAAAAACUUUCAUUAAAUAAAUUAAAAAUUAUCAACCAAUCAAAUUAUAACAAUUAAUCUUAUAUAUUAAAAAAGAAGUCAUGACUUCUUUCAUGUGUGAUUUUUUUUUUUUUUGGACCAUCACUUAGAAAUCUUAUUAAAUGUAUUUUAUUAAGAAUAAUAAUACAUAGAAUCUUUAAAAUACUUUAAUCAUAAUAUCUUUUGAUAUCUUUUUAUUUAAAAUAUAAAUAUAUUUAUUUUAAAAAUCUAACAAAUCUGUUUUAAAAGAUUUUUACAAGAUCUUCAUUUUCGAAAUUAUAUUUAAAUAUUUUUCAUUAAUUUCGAAAUUAGUUUGAAAUAUUAUUAUACAUUAAUAAAUUCACUAAUCAUUUAUAAAAUAAAAAAUAAAAAAUUCUGUAAUAUUUUAUAUAUUAUAUAAUCAUGAUCAAUCAUAUUAAAAGAAAAUUAUUAUAUUGAGCUAAGUAUAAUAAAAUUGUAUUAAAUUUAUAAAUUUUAUUUUCAUAAGUAUAAAAUAUUUAUGUUCAAAAAUAAAAUCUAAUAUGUUGGUAAGAUGGAUUAAGCAAAAUAUAUAAUACAUGUAUAAAAAUUAACAUGUAUUUCUUUAAAGCUUAUAAUAUAAAAUCUUUGUCACUACUUUAAUCAUAAUAUAUUUUCAUUUUAAAUAAAAUAUAUAUUUAUAUAUUAUAUUUAAAAAUUCUAAUAAAUCUGUGUAAAAUUAUUUUAACAAUAAUUUAAUAUAUUUUAAGUUAUCGUUUAUAAAAUAAAAAUAAAUAAAUUAUAUCCUAUUUUACCCACUUUAUAGUCAUGAUCAUGUUAAAAUAUAAUUAUUAUACUUAAAUAAAUAUGAUAAAAGUAAAUUCAAUUGAUAAAUUUAUAAAUUUUAUUUUCAUAAAUAUAAAUUAUUUAUUUUAAAAAUAUAAUAUGAUGAUUGAACGCCUUAAAAUUAACAAACCUUAUAAUACAUGUCUAAAAAUUAACAUAUCUUAGACUUUUGUAUAUACAAUAAUAUAUUAUCUAAAAUGAAUAAGCAUAAAAAAUAUUAGUAAAAAGAAAUACAGCUUUGAAACACGGAUCAGAAUUUAGCAUAAAUUAAAUACAAAAUAAUUUUCAAAUAUGUUUUCUCAUGAAUAUAAUAAUUUGCUUAAUAACUAAAUGCAAAUACAAUAAGAUAAAUAUAUAAUAAGAAGUGAAAAUACAUACGGUUUUAACCAAAUGAUUAAUUAUAACAUGUAAAUUAUAAAAUUAUUAUAUUUGAAAUAGUUAUAUAAACAUUUAAGUACUAGUGGUUGGCCCGCCCUACGGGCGGGUUAGUUUACGCUAAAACUAUUGUAUAUGAAAAUAUAUAUUAAUUUUAUAAAUUUUUUAAAAUUUACUUUAAAAUAAAAUAAUAAAUAUAAUAUUUUUUUAAAAAAAAUCAAAUUGUAUUUAUUAAUAUUUUUUAGUUUGAGUUGAAAAGACCUCUACCAUUUUUUGGUUAUAGAUUACAAAAUUAUGAAAUUAAAAAAUUAAGAAAAUGUAAUGAUUUAUAUUUCUAUUUUAUUUCUAUUUCACUUUGAUAUAGUUGAAGAAAAUCUAAAGUAAGAAUAACAUUUUUAAAAAAAAUUCUAAGAGUAUAAUUAUAAUACUAUUACAAUUAAUUAUCGUCUCCCGAUUAUAAAUUAAUCCACUUCCAAGCUAAAUCAAUUGAAAAUAUAAUGUAAUGUAAUAAAAUUAUAAAAUGUUAUAUUUUAAUGUAAUAUAUAAAUAGUUUCAAUAAUUUCACAAAUAACAAUUAAUCUAUAUUAUUUAACAACAAAAUGAUGUUUUAAAACAAACCAAACCAGAACCAAAGUGGACCCAAUAUUUAUUAGUCAGUUUCUACUAUUGUUGUCCAACUGGAACAAAAACAUUAACAGACAAAUUGAAAUUCAUAAAUAGUCAGUUUCAUUGUUCAUUGUCUAAACACAACAUGAAACACUUUGGUUGCCUCUAUACCAUUUGGUUUUCGGUUCGAUUAUGGUUUUUGUUGGUUUUCCGGUUCUAAAGAUAUAGGUUACCGUUCAAUUAUUUAUGAAUUUCACUUUCGCUAUUUUGGUUUUUGUUCCAGUUUGGAUAACAAUAGUAGAAACUGAAUAAUAAAUUUUGGGUCCAUUUUGGUUCUGGUUUGUUUGUUUUUUCGGAUAAUUCUAGAUAAAUCGGGAAAUUGGAGAUCUUUGUAUUUUUCAGAUAAAAUAUCAGAUAAUUAAAAAAUAUUCUACAUUCUUUUGGGUUAUUCAGAUAUUUUAGUUACUUUGGAUAAAAAAUAUUUGAUUUUUUUCGAGUAGUUUGAUUUAUAUGUAAUAUUUUUAGAAUAUUUGGUAAUUUAUAAACUUAAUGUAAUUAAUAUUUUAAGCAUAUGAAAUGAAAUUUAAAUUUUCUGAUUUGAUUUUUUGAUUCAAUUCCGGUUUGGUUUUCGAUUCUCGUUUAUAUACCUAGACAUAGUUGCUUUAAGCUUUUACACAAACACACAAAAGAGACUAUUUGAAAAUAAAUAUCUAGAAAGUAUAACAAUAAUCUGUAUGCAAUGGGUAUAAAAAAGAAAUGCGGGCUUUCCUCCCUCAUGAACUAACAAUACUACAAUAACUUAAAGACUCUUCUUUUGGAAUAGAUGGAUCUGGUCUUCCUCAAGUACUUCAAGCAUUACCCAAAAGAGUAAACAUCAGACUUCCCAGUCAAUUGUUAUCUUGUACUGGUCUGGAUCAAGAUAAUGAAUCUUCCUAUACCGUCAUACUCACACGUGUCUGGUCAAGAUCUGGACGUCUUAAACAAUCCAAAUUCUGAAACUUUGUCCAUGAAAUUCUCAUCGAAGAGAAUGUUAUCAUACUUCAUAUCGCGGUGGAUGAUACCUCUUGCGGAAUCUGUAUGGAUAUAGUGCAGGCCUCUAGCUGCACCAAGACAUAUCUCAAGCUUCUGUCUCCAGCUCAACCUUGGGCGAUCCAAGUCAUGCACAAUAGUCCUCUUAUUGUUCUCACUGCAAUGCCCGAUUAAAGAAACCAAAUGCAUGUGUAUGAACUGGGACAACAUUUCGAUCACUGUCCUGAAUUUAUUGAUGUAAAGCUAUAGCUGGUUAGUAUAUGUAUUUGAAAAAACCAUUACCUACUGUGGUUGAAGAUUCUUACGGUCCAAUCAGAUUGAUUGCUUCUGGUGGUAGACCAUAUAAUUAAAAAGCCUACUUUCCUCGUUUGCCUUGUAUCUCAAGGACCUCCUGCACUCAAAAACAGAGAACAGUUCGAUUCAAUUAAUUUUUAACACAUUGAGUCAUUCGUUAAUGCAAAAGUGGAACUUUUUGUGGAAGUAAUUCUUGAUUGUAUUACUGAUGAAGCGCUCAGGUGCUUAAUUUCAUUUUCUCCACGUCCCUAAUACUCGAUACCACAUCAUCAUCACACCUGAAAAAAGAGGAAACUUAAAAGAUUAAUAUGUGCCUCCAAAAAUUCAUAUAAUUCAGAGACUCAUGAAGAAACAAGACUUCAAAUGAUGCUAGCCUUCUUUUGACACUAAACACAGUUGGAGUGUUGUCAAGCAGUGGGUUUCCUUUGGGAAGUUCCUCUUCUUUGGCGUUUAGCUCUUCAUUUGCUGCUGCUUUUCCUGGAAAAAUGUAAAUAAUAAAUAUUAAGAUACAACUUUCAUAUGUCAAUGUGUUUAGAAAAAACUAACGUAGUCAUUUUGUUAUAAUUGUAAUCUGAAAUCAUCUCACAGACAAGAACACAUACCUUCCUGAGCCUCUUUAUUUAUUUAUCUGGUCUAGUUCAGCCAUAAGAGAUCCAGUCUCAUCCUCAUCAUCGUCACUUUCUUUAUAUUUAAGAAAGACAACCAGAUCGUAAGAUAACUCAAAGGAAAUUACAAGUCUCAGUUGAUAUAAGUCAUCAAAAACUCUCAAAAAGGAUAACACUGAAGCAAUUGCAUAUUCCCAAACCAGGGCUCUGAGGAAAAGCAUUAAAUCUCAAGCAAAGAAUCUUUAGAAGUUUAAAGCACAAAAGAUGAACUGCAAUAGGAAGGAAAGAAUGGAAAAUAGGUACCUAUCAUCAUCAUCAGAAUCAUCUUCAGAGUCCCUUUUAGAGCCUAAAAGCAGGAUAUCAGAGUUAGAAUUUAGAAAACAUAUAAUCAAACUACUUGUAUCCCGUGACAUAUAAUCAAAUAAACAUAUAAACCUUCGAGUAAUAGCUGAUUCCCUCUCCUGUAGUAGCUUUCAACUAAUGACAAAAAAAAAACACAUUAGUGAAACGAAGGAAGAAUCUUUACAAAAUCAUAUUGAAAAAAAGGUUUGAAAUUUAUCGUCUCACUCAUCACAGUGAGAUUUUUCUUUGGAAGAAAAGUUUCUCCUCUCACGCUCUUCAAGUCAUCACGAAGUUUCUUCUUCUAUAGAACAUCAAGAACUGAUCUCGGUGGUGUUUGAGCAACGGCCUGCUUUCAGAUUUGCGAGAAGAACGUAGGAAGUCGACAUAGUGGGCGGUGAUGCUUGGCAGAGUAUAAUCUUUGAGAAAUCUUAGCGGUGGAGCUGUUCAUGGCAUCUAACGGAGACAUUUAUAGUCUGAAGUCGUACCGAACUCAAACAUGCAUCGCUUACCUUCGUCGCCAAUUAUAAUACAUAAAUGAGGCGGAGUGGGAGGAGAUGUAUGGUGGUGUUAAAUGCUCAUUUUAAUGGUGGACUUAAAAAACGAAUCUGUUACCCAAAGUUUUCAUCGGAUGGAAGAGAAGCGAAAGGAUUAGGGCGUCUCAGUCGAGGAUCAUAAAAACUUAGUCAAACACGGGCCCACGCAUCUGAUACUUAUAAAGACCAAAUUAAAAUAAAAGCCCAUUCACCGAGAGACGAAAAUUUUAGGAGUCGAAGGUUAAGAUGCCACGUGGUGCAAAACGCCCACCUCUAAAAAAAAGACGUGGAGGGCUAAGGUGAGAGAAAACUCUGUUUUUAGGAGUCGAAGGUUAAGAUGCCACGUGGCGCAAAACGCCCACCUCUAAAAAAAGGACGUGGAGGGCUAAGGUGAGAGAAAACUCUGUUUUAUUAUUAUAGAUAUGAUUAAUGUUAAAAAAAUAUCACUAAUGUUUAAAAAUAAUAAUUUAUGUAUAAAAAAGUAAAAACAAACACCCGCGCGGUUGCGCGGAUCAAAAUCUAGUUAAAGAGUUAUUAUAUGAGAGACACGUUAUCAGAAAUCACUAAAGUGACUUCUCAAUUAAUAUAUAUGAAGAUAUUAAUCUACUAUAUAUUAAUUUUGGAGCAUUACAACUUUUGAGUGUAGCCAUAUUGACUUACAAUCCUUCGCAUAUAUAUGACAAUUAAUGAUUUUGAAUAAUAAAGAUUUGAUAAUAUUUUUUGUAUCCUCAAUAAUUUUUGUUUAAUUUAUAUUAUUAAAAAAUUUAAACAAUCACAGUAACCAUAUAAUAAAAAAAUCUAGAUUUUGUUUCUUAUAUGUUAUAUUUAAAAAAAUUUAAAACGAUUAUAAAUUACUAAAACUGUUAAAAGUCUUACAAUGAAAAUUUUGUGAACAACGGUUUUAGUUUUUUGUUAUAAAAAGAUACAAAUGAUCACAAAACAUAUCAAUAUAAAGUAUCAUUUAAAUAGAUAUUCAAUCUGAAUAUCUAUUACCGAGCUUAGAACUUUAGGGUUUAGUUAUAAUCUGAACGAAACCAAAAUCCUAACUAUAAUCCAAAGAUAUCAGAAAUUAGUAUAAUAUGUUAAUGUUUUUUUUAUAUAUGUUAAGGCAAUUUAGAUAUUUUAUAGUUCGAAAGAUUUUUGUAGUUUAUUUUAUUUGUUAUCUUGAAUAUCUUUUAGUUAAUUUAGAUAGUUUAACUAAUUUUAAUUAUAUUUAUGAAUAAUUUUAACAUUUUGAAGCUUUUUUCAAUUUUUGAGGUUUAAAAAUAUAUUUUGGGACGAUUCAGAUAUUGGUUACAAUCCGGUCCGAACCGAACCCGGCCUAAUUAUUAGUAAAACCCGAGUGGGACGUAUAAGCAUAAUAUCAAAAUUUUGAAAAUCUGAAUCAAUUGAACCGAAACCGACGGACCCCGAACGCCCAGACCUAUGAUACAUUUAUAUACAAACAUUUGUAUUCUUCAUUUUACAAUCGAUAAAGAUUAUAAUAUUGUAAAAUGUUAUAACCAUUAAAUAAAUAAAUAUUAGUAUAAAAAUCUUACUCCGCGCCGAUUAUCAUCUAGUAAUAUUAUUUGCCAAAAUCAAUAUACAAGGACAUAAAUAUUAAUUCAUAAAUAUAUUAUAUUUAUGAUUUUACCCUAAAAAUUUUUAAAACUAAAAUAAUUUUCUAGCCAGGUUUUUUGUUAUUUUCGUGUUAUAGGGGAGAAAAUGGUAUUUGAGAAUAUUUUAAAAAAUAAAAAAAACAGCAGAAAGUAGAUAAUUGGUUCGAAAUGUCGUUUUAAUAGGUUCAGCGCCAACAAUCAGUCAGGAAACUAUAACUUCACCUUCCAUUCUCUCUAUCUUCUUUUCAAUCAUCUCCAGAAUGGAAUAAACAAUUAGGUAGUUUCGAUUCGAUGCUGCUCAGCUCAUGUCUUCUUACACCAUCAAAGAAACAAUGGCGACUAAAGAUGAAGUCCAGAACGACCCACUGUUGCAGGCAUCAGAAAGUGACGGUCACGAAGAGUUCAACGGAGCUUCUUUCACCGGAGCGGUACUCAACCUGGCAACAGCGAUCAUCGGUGCUGGUAUCAUGGCUUUGCCCGCCACGAUGAAGAUCCUCGGACUUGUUCCCGGAAUCGUGAUGAUCCUUCUCAUGGCUUUCUUGACCGACAAGACUAUUGACUUCUUGCUUAGUUUUAGCGGAGUCGGGAACGCUAGAAGAUCGUACGGUGGUUUGAUGGAAGAUUCUUUCGGCAAAACCGGAAGGAUUGUGUUGCAAGUUGCUGUUCUUGUUACCAACAUUGGGGUUUUGAUCGUUUACAUGAUCAUCAUUGGUACUUGAUCUUUGAUACUAAUCAGAGCUUUUGAUCUUUGGCAUUUGUUUUAACUCUUGUUUGGCUUGAAGGUGAUGUUUUGGAGGGUAUGCUUGAAGGAUGGUUUGGAGAAAGCUGGUGGGACAAGAGAAGUAUUGUUCUUCUCUUUACAACUCUUUGUGUCUUUGCUCCAUUGGCAUCCUUCAAGCGCAUUGGUUAGAACAAUGUGUUGCAUACUUCUCUUAAAAUGAAAUGGAGAGUGUAUCCGGUUGAUUUAUUAUGGCUUCAUUGCAGAUACUUUGAGAUUCACGUCUGCCCUAUCACUUGUUCUAGCGGUUGUUUUUCUAGUCAUCACUGCGGGAAUCGUCGUUACAAAGUUUUACAGAGGUGGUUUGAUGAAGCCAAGACUCUUCCCAAACGUCACUGACUUGUCAUCGGUCUGGAAACUCUUCACCGUUGUUCCUGUGCUUGUCAACGCAUACAUUUGUCAUUCUAACGGUAACGCUUCUUUCUCACUAAAAGGAUUAAACAGGAACUCAUGGUUUUUUGAUGUUUUCAGUCCACAAUAUACAGAACGAGCUUGAAGACUCCAUUCAGAUCAAAGCUGUUGUGCGUUCAGCUCUAGUGAUGUCCUCCUCUGUUUACGUAAUGACAAGCUUGUUCGGAUACCUCUUGUUUGGUGAAUCUACUCUUGAUGAUGUUCUUGCAAACUUUGAUACCGAUCUUAAGAUCCCUUUCGGUCCGGUUCUCAGUGAGGCAGUCAGACUCAGCUAUGCAGCUCAUCUCAUGCUUGUGUUCCCUGUUAUCUUCUAUCCUUUGCGCGUUAACCUGGACGGUCUCUUGUUCCCUACGGCUACUCCAUCACUUACUACCUCUAAUAUGAGGUUUGGCUCCAUCACUGCCGGUCUCAUUGCUGUAAUCUUUGUUGGUGCAAACUUCAUUCCAAGCAUCUGGGAUGCUUUCCAACUCACUGGAGCUACAACUUCUGUCUGCAUCGGUUUCAUAUUCCCUGCUGCUGUCAUCUUGAAGUAAGUCCCCAUUGUUUCUCAUAACAGACUGGUUUUGGAACCUAAUGGAUCAUUUUACCUGAGGGUAUCUCUUCAGGGAUCGUCAUAACCGAGCAACAAAGAUGGACAAGACUAUAGCCAUUUUCGUGAUUGUCCUUGCGGUUUUCUCCAGUGCAGUUGCCAUUUACAGUGACGCUUACGCCUUAGUCAAGAAGAACAAAUCCACAUUUCCAAUGUGAGCAGAAUGGUUUUGUUUGGUUCUCUUACUCUAAGAAAAAAAAAAAACUUGACAACUGUAAGAAUGACCCCUGUGAUUUUGAUCUUUAGAUCUUGUUCAGCUCUAGAUCAAAUAAAAAUGUCAGAAGCGUCCAUGUCUAGAUCAUAUUUGGCCCUAGAACAAUAUCCAAAUUAAAAUACUGUGUUGAACUGAUACAAUUUGUCACUGUGAAUCUUUAAGAUACAGACAAAAAAACAGCAACAAGUGUCUAUUAGGAGUCGUUGGGACAACUCAAAACAAAACAAAAGAGUUAUAAAGAAUAAAAGGUUUACUUUUAGGAAUUUGACUUAUCUCCAUCGCUGGAGUCAGCCGGAGAAGGGAAGCAUUGGCAAUAUCCAUUAAUGCUAUUUCUUGAACUGCUCUGAUCUGAUCACUUUUCUCAAACUCUUUCUUCUUCAGUGCAGCGAAGAGAAGUUAAACAAAGAUGAGAGAUGUUACAGUCACAAGUGAAUAUAAAUCAGUGCAAAAGCUAAAAAAAAUGUUAAAAAACAUAUCUCAAGUAAGCACUGCACCUGAUAAACAUAAUAGAAAGCUUCUGACUAACUGUCUAGCUAAGAAAACUCAGAGGAGACGGGUAGUGUGCACUCAUCAAGAAGUGCCUCAGAGCCAAUGGAUGGUAACUUUCUGUGAUCUACACAAGAUUGAAACAAAAAGACGGAUCAGAACCUGUCAACAAUUCUGCGUUUAGGCCAUGCGAACAAUGAGUUACUAUAUUUGGAAAGAAAAUAGAACAAUACUCAACGGGUUCUCCACACUCUCAUUAGCACGUAUGAUUAUAAGCAAAUUAACUUCAUAACCUAAAUGCUUCAAGUAUCAACGCAAACCCAUGAUAUGUGCAAAGGCUCAAGCUUUCUUUUCUACGAAUCUAAGUUACGAGAGAUGGGAGAAUUGAAAGCAUGCAUCUAGACCUGUAGAGAACGUCGAAGGAGACGACGGAGGCGCGAGCAUGGCCGACUUUUCGCGUGCCCCAAUGUGAAAUGUAGAAUCUCCUAUGGAUUCCUAGAGUCUCAUAUACCCCUAUUUCAUAAUUAUUUUUUUGAUCAAAAUCCAAACUUUCAAAUCAAAUCCUUCCAGGUCAUCAAAACUAAACCCUAACCCUCCCCUAUAAAUUAGUGAACCCAUGGACAAAUAUUUAAAUUCAGAAUAAAAUAUUUUAAAAUCAUUUUUAAUCAUAUUUUGAUGAUUUUUUUGAAAAUAUGGAAAACAACGUUUUUGGAUUUUUGAAAUAUUUUUAUCAAAUUCUAUAAAUCAAAUAAAAAAUAUUAACGUUUCAAUUUUAAUUUUAUGAUUUUUAGUUUGACAUAUAAAAUUAAAAGAACAAAAAGAUCCUUUUGAGAUUGUGUUAUGAGAUAUAAGGGUAUGAGAAGAUUUGUCUCUCUUUGCGGUUAGAAAAUGUAGGAACUGUGACCAAGAUCUAUAGGUGGGAUCCACUCUGUUUCUCCUUGAGCCAUCUUUUUUUUAAUGCUAGUUUAUUAUGAUAUUACAAUUAUGAAAAAAAUUAUAUAGACGAUUCGACAACCAACAAUACUACUUGCCUUAUGAGGAUUUAUGCAUAACUGCAUCAUGCCUUAUGAGGAUUUAUGCAUAACUGCAUCACCUCAGCCGUCCUAUGAAAAUCCACGUUUGGCCGAAUUUAUUUGCGCCAUGUUAAAAAUCCCUUGUAAGCUUUUUUCCGUAAUUUGUAUAAUUGUUUAAUAAAUCGUUUUUUCCGGGAAUUGAAAGUGGACCUCAUGUAAUAUGCAAAAAUUUGCAUAGAGAUUCGAACCCAAACAUGGAUGUAGAAACCUUUAAACAUUAACCAUAUGAUAUAGUGCUUCCACUAAACCAUCUAUCUAAGAUCCUGUUUCAAAGAAAAACUAAAACUUUAAAUAUUUGAUUUCAAUUAUAUACUCCAACAAAAGUUUAUAACUUUAAAUUUUAAAGUUUUGAAUAGUUAAACUUUAAUUUGAGAUUUUAUAUUUUAAAGUUUUAAAAAAAUUAUCUGUUUUCUAAAUAAUCUUGUUAAGUUUCAAUAUUAUCAUUUUAGUUCUUAUAAUUUCUAUAUUUCAUUAAUAUUUUACAUAUAAAAUACUGAUUUGGUUUGCAACUUAUAUCUAACUAAUAAAUAAAUUUAUAUGUCAUUUUAAAAUUUAUUAACUGAUCAUAUAUAAAAACAUUACAAAAUAAUUUUAUUGAGUAGUUUGGUAUUUUAUUUGUAAGUAAUGAUUUAAUUUAAGUUUUUCAGUUAUCAUUUAUCAUAAGAUAGCAUUUUUCUAACCAAUAUUAUAACUAUUAUAACUUUAAUCAAUUUUUAAUUAAUAUCGAAAACUAAAGUGAAUAUAUAAUAAGAUUUAAAAAUACAUUGUAGGUUUUAAUAUUGGAAAGUAACACCCCAAAUCUCAAAUUUAGGGGUUUUCCAACCUUAAAAAUAUGGCUCCUCUUGAAAAUGCUCUAAGUUGGACUAUGGGUUUGUUCAUGGAUAUGAUCAACUGGAAAAAUAGACUGUUUUCAAAUAUCAAAAUUGUAAUCUCGUUACAGAAUUUUCUUCUUUUUUUUUUAAAUUAGAAAUUUUGUUUAUGUUGAAAUAACACUGUCAAGAUAUGUUAUAGUUUACUAAUUAAAUACAGGAUUAGAGUGAGCUUUGGGUUCUAUAUAGAUUCAGUUGCUCCACCACGUAGACCAAAUUGUUUAAAAAUUGCCUCAAUUUUUUUUUUUUUUGGUGUAAAAUUGCCUCAACUUCUUGUUCAUUCUUUUAUUAGAAAUGAUAUAAAGGAGUGGGAUCUUCAAUUUUUACGAGAAUAUAUGCACCCCGAAGAUUUAACUUUGAUCUUUGGUGUUUCCCUAUGUCUGACCGAUAGGGUUUUGUAAUCUGCGGUUUCUAAUUUUCUUAGUGGUAUAUACUCUUCUGCUUUGGUGUGUUUGCUUUGUUCUAAAUUUUCUCAGUGCAUUACAAAUAACAAUCUUGGUUUUGUGGCUUCGCUUUGGUUCGGGGAGUGCCAAUUCCGGUUUUGAUUGGUUGGUUAAAGCAACAAUUGCAAAGUUUUGGUUUAAGGCAAGUCCUUUAUGUUGCGUGACAGUGAAUACUUUUGUGUUGAGUAGUUUAGUAAUGCGUUCUUUCCAUGGUAAUUUAUUAGCUAUGUGCUCUUUUUAACGACGCAAGGCAACAGCUAUCUUUAAGGAGAAUCUUCACACCACUAUUCUGGUGUUUCUCCUCUGGUGGGGAGGUUUUGGCUUUGCUUCUCUUCUCUGAAAUUGACACUCUUUUUACAGCUGAACCUUUCGUUGUCUUUAACUUGGUAGUCUGUGGAACUCUUGUGCUAGCCUCCACGCUUUAAGGAGAAACAAAAUCUAGAGUCACCUUUAUACUCUUAAACAGUUUGCAUAACAUUUGAUGAGAUGUUUCUCAAAAGUCCAUGGCUUUAUAUCUGUAUAUGGAAAAACAUACAUCGACCAUAAGCAAAGUAAAUAAGAUAGAUUUUGAAUAAGGGAACUCUUUUGUUAGGUCAUAGAGCUUGUUCCAACGUCAAAUUAUGAUUCACAUUGUCUGUCUUUUAUGCAUUUUGGUUUGUUUUGUUUUGUUGAAGAUGAAAGUGUAAUGAGCAUUCGUCAAUCGUUUCUUCUCACGUAUAUUAUGACUAUCCGAGUUAAAGAUGCUAAUUAACCAGAGUAAAACUUUGAAAGCUGAUUUAGAUUUUUCAGAGAAGAGAACUCUGUGUAGUAAGAAGCAUUUGAGAUUGAAGAAAAGAACUAGUUCAUUAACAGUUUUGGUUGCACUAGGAUUCCCAGAGUUAAAAGAUGCUUUUUGGUUGCUUACCACAGUAAAAAGAUUGAGACUUGAGUUUGCAAGAGAAAAGAACAACUUUUUAACAGUUAGAAACAUACAGUAGUAAAACUUUGAAAGCUGCUAUUCAAAUGCUAAAUUAACCGCAGUAAAACUUUGAAAGCUGGUUUAGAUUUGAGACCUGAGUUACUAAACUUUAUAAUGAACAGAAACAACAUAUACUAAACAGAGACUUUAAACAGGAGACAUACUAGACCUUCAUGAAUAUAAAGUACGUACUAAACCUUAAUGAACGGACACUAAACUGAAAGAAGUCUGUCGAUUUCUUCAACCCCAAGACUUUGGUCAGAGUUCUCUUAACGGUCUUUGUCUUCCAGAACCUCAACUUCAAAGGCUUCUUGUCUGAAACAGCAACAUCAUCCGUCGCUAGUUUCUUCUUGGAACCUCUUCGUCUGAUUCUCAACUUGAACAGGUUCGACAGAAACGAGUUACUUGUCUUCUCCUCUGUUGUCUUCUCAUCCUCUUCUUCAACUUGUGGACGAGGCAAGAAGGGAUGAAGCAACAACUCAUGCGCGCUUCCUCUCUCCUCAGGGUUCCUCGAGAAACACGUUUGGAUAAAGUCCUUUGCAUCACAAGGAACCGUUUCAGGUAUCUCUGGAGAUUUACCAGAGAGGAGACGAGUAGCGAUCUCAUCUAGUUCGAGGCCUUCCCAUGGAAUCACGCCCGUGUACAUCUCCAGAACCAAACACCCCACCGACCACAAGUCUAGAGACACGUGGGCGAUGCCGUCACGGACCGACUCGGGCGACAUGUAGAUCGCAGUCCCAAGCCACGGGAAAUUAAUUUCCCAACACAGGGGAACCUCUCCUAUCUCUAACGCGUUGCCGAAAUCACAAAUCUUGACCUCGUAUGAAUUUUGUCUCAAAGAGGAAGAAGGGAAGACGAGUAUGUUGUCUGGUUUGAUGUCGCAAUGAACGUAGCCAUGGUCGUGAAUCGAGACCAAACCUUCGAGAACCAUCCGUGUGAAAUCCCUGAUCAACGGUUCAGGCAACUUUCUGUCGGCGUAAUUGUUCAUGAAAGCGUGGAGACUACCUUCGGAAGCAAACUCGAGUUGUAGUUUGUGGAGUUUCUCCCCGAAUCUGCUGAAACUUUGUUGGAGAGAGUCUCCGAGACAUGUGACGAUCCUGGGACAUCCCUUGAGUUGGAGAAGAACGUGGAACUCUCUUUGGAGAGCGUUGUAGUCUUCUUGGUAAGAGUUCUUUACGGCAGAGAGGUAGAAAGAGUUGUCGUCGGGAUUAUUGUAGCGGACGAGAUUAACAAAACCAUAAGCACCUUUGCCUAGUAACUUGACGAAUUCUUCUUUCGUUUGCAUCUUUUCAAUCGGGUUUUGACACAGAAUCGUUGUUCGGAAACGUUGAGAGAAUUAAAAAUAGGAAACUGUGGCGAAGGAGAAGUGAUUUCAGAGUGUUAUAUAGAGAGUUGGGGUUCAGUUAAGUCGGUGUUGCAGACACACGGAAAAAGGAAAAUUGAAUAACAUAAUUUCCUUUUCUGAGAUACUUCAAAAAGGAAAUUCGAAGCGCUGGCCAACGGUUGAAAAAAGGAAAAGAAUUCGAAUUUUUGGUCAUUUAUAAUUAAAAUGUCCAAAUUUAUAACAAUAAAGAAUUUGUCCACGAUUUAGUUAAUGCUUUCAUAUAAAUUUUUAUUCAUGUCGUUUAAUGCUUAAAAUGUAGUUUGGAAAAAUAUAGGAUUAUAUUUAUUUUCAAAAUUUUAAAGCAGAAAAUGGUAUUUGUUUUGAAACUUCCUCAUUAAACAUAAAUGCUGACAAUGUUAAAAGAACAUAGUGUAUUUGUGACAUCUAAAAAAAACUAUAGAACUUCUAGUGGAAAAAUGUUUAAAAUAGUGACUAAACUUUUUGGCUAUAAAUUUGUUAAGCAUGACAAUUUACCUGAAUUCAAAAACAUGUUCACUAGAUCAAAAUAACCAAAACCGGACCAAAACUUUCAAAUAUUUGGAUACUUCUUAUACUUUUAUAUUCAAAAUAAUCAAACCAAAAAUUAAAUAGACAUCUAUAUAAAAAUAAUUUGAGUCGUUUGAUAUAAUUCGAAUCAUCCUAAUUACUCAAUAUUUUACUGAAUCAAACGAGACCUCGGAUCACAAACAAUUUCUAGUUUUACUAUCUAAACUAGUCCAAAAACGAAACUAUCCGAACUUAUUCAAACCAAGAAGUUGGCAGUUCCUAAAAAUACCUGUUCAAAAUAUCUGAUACAUGUAAUAUCUCACACGAGCCGAAUCGACACCCGAAAUGCCCUAGUCUAAUUUUGUAUUUGAUUUAAAAAAAUCUAACUUUUAAUACACAAAAAAAUUCAGGCUUUGUUUUAGAAAUUUGAAAGAUUUAAUUAAAAAUUGUUGCUAUAACUAAAAAUGUAGUAAUAUUAUAUAUAUAUACUUAUAUAUGAUAUGUAUUAGUUAAUAUUUAGGAAAUUAACAAAUAUGAUAAAGCAAUAAACUGAUACAAUUAAUUAGAUUUAUAAAAUGAAAAUAAAAAUAUCUUAUGUUAAAGAUUUAUUGUUAAAUAGUGUUUUUGGAAUUAUUUUCAUACUUUAGUAGUAUAUCAUGACUCAUUUAAAUCAUAAUGGAGAUGAUGUAAGGGAAAUUCUAUCAAAUAGCUAUUUUUAAGUUUUUGUCACAAAAAUAGUCCUCACGAAAGAAAAUGAUCAAAAUAAUCUUUUUUUUUAUUUUAAAAAUUUUAAUAUUUAUUUUUAUUUUUCAAAAUUUGAAACCCUAUUCCCAAAACCUCACCCCUUAACUCUAAACCUUAAUUCUAGAUUAGUUAACCCUAGGAUAAAAAUACAUUUUUAUCAUUUAGUAAAACUUAUUUCGAUCAUUUUCUUCGUUAGAGGUUAUUUUUGAAAAAAAAACUUAAAAUGACUAAUUUGAACUGAAUAUAUAAAAUAAAUAUAAAAAACUUCAUUAGAGGCUAUUUUAUUCAUGAGGAUUUUUGUGAAUAAACUCAAAAUAAAGCUAAAUCGAUAUCAGUUUGAACCUCAUGAGUCCCUCUUAAAGUGUUUUUCAAAUAUCAAAUACCUUAAAAUUUGUUUGAAUGUGGUAAGAUGAUCCAGUAUACUCCUCUUAGUGUUUUGUUAUCAGUGAAAUCACUGAAUGACCAGAUAAUAUCGUAAUUUGUUGGCUGGAGUCAGCUUAUUAUAAGUUUUGGUUCGAUCCUUUUAGAAAUAGUAAAUGUCGGUUCGGUUCAGAUCGAAUCGGUUUGGUUCAACAAAACAAAUCAACACCUGAGUCCCCCCCCACCACCACCCAAACGCCUCCAUAAACCUCAUGUGCUUUGUUCAGAGGAUCUCGUCUUCUUCUCUUUCUAAUCGAAAAUGGGAACGUUGGGACGAGUAAUCUACACUGUGGGUAACUGGAUUUGCGGGUCUGGGCAAGCUCUAGAUCGCAUCGGUUCUCUUCUUUAAGGGAGUCACCGCUUGGAAGAACACCGUGAGCCACAUUCAAACCCUAGAUCCAAAUCCACAUCUCUAAUUUGUCGCUUACAAGAAAAGAUCUGUUCAUAUUCGAGAAAUUGGUGGUCUAAUUUAGGCUCUCGUUUUCCAUUGGUUGUUGAUGAGUGUGUUUGACAUCUUAUGUUACCUGCGGACAAACAUAUAUCAAUUACCAUUUCGAUUAAAAACUGUUGAACCAUGACAGAGAUCAACAUUGCAAUACUCUCGGAUUACAAUAGACAAUAACAACCGUAAUUUUCAGAAGAAAAAAAAAGAAACUGAAAACGAAGAUGGAGGGCAGAGAGAUAACCAUUUAGGGAGCUUCGGAACGCGAGUAUGCUAUUGAAGCUAUCAAAGUAACUUCUCCAUUACUCUAAGCGACUAUGUGAUAGAUUCCCUAGAAAUUAUCUGCAUAGAGCAAGACUCAAAGUUGGAGUUAUACUUCACUUGUCAUUAUGUAAUCAAGACAGGAGGUGUGUGUUUCCAUUGAUUCUCGAGGUUCUACAAAAAAAUGGUGUAAAGACAAAUGACGGAGUUGUUCUUGCAGUCGAGAAGACUAUCACGUCACCGUUACUGGUAAACUCUCCAUGUGAGACUUUUGGUGGGUUCUGCUCUUUGCUUUUUUAAAGUCUCUCCUUCUUUUUUUCAGAAGCCGGGCAGUCUGGAGAAAAUCAUGGAAACUGAUGACCAUAUAUGUUGUGCAAUGACUUGUCUGAUUGCUGAUGCAUGUAAUACUUGUUGAGCACGCACGAGAGGAGACUGAAGUGAGACCGCUCUCUGUUCCUACUUCCUAAUCAGCUCUGCCUAAGAAGGGUCAUAACUUUUUCUUUUUCUUUUACUUCAGACUUAUGAUUUUUAUGAUGGGAUCAUUUGUAAACACGAUUCAGAUUCACAAUUGAAUUGAACGAAAUGAAAACAUAGUUUUCUUAAAUUGACACUUGUCCUGUUUUUUAAACCUGAUCCCCCCUGCACAAAGUUAUGUAUUGAUUUUGGCCUUGUGAGUUGUGGCAUAAUAUGAGUUAGACCACUUAACUAGUACCACUUUUAGUUACAACAGUACAUGCGGCACCAAGCAAGGAUUGUGUCUUUAAAAGGAGGCGUUAUGAAUUUACCUCUUGAUAGAGUUAUAAGCGCAAUGACAUUAGAGUUUGGAAAGAUUUGUUUUGGUGAGAAGAAUAACAAUACAUGCAGUUUGAUAGGAAUAGUUAACAUUUUCUUAAGGAAUACAAUAUUACAUCAAACCAUUUCAUAAAUGUUAAAGUAAAGAUAGAACUCGGAUCAGACAUAACGGUUGUAAGGGAUACAAAUCAGAUCCAUCCAACCAUUUCCGUUGAUAAAGGUAUAAACCGAGUACUUCUGAGCUUCUUCGUCCGUCAUAUUGGGUUUGUACACAGUCUACACGGUUGCUAAGACCCAAACCCCAGUUCCAGUGUUCUUGUACUCUCCAUACCUCAACGUCCUAGGGUUCCAUGUGAUCCAACCCCUCGGCUCAACCAUGUCUCCUAAAAACAUCUUCAUAACAAGAACCGUUGCAAACGGCUUCCAAGGUCAUCCAAGUUACAGAGCCGGCUCAGAGGACAAACCACACAAACCAUCGUUUAGUGCAUACAAUACGAGAAAACAUAAUAUAUUUAUUAAUAAAAGUUAUAUAAAUAAUACUAAUAUUUUUAUGAUUAUUAUUAUUAUUAUUAUUACUAUCAAAUAAAUACAAAUUAUGUUUAUAAACUUAAUAAAAUUAUAUAAAAUAUAAGUAAAAAUUAUUAAAAAUAUAAGUAAAAAAUAUAUAAAACAUAAGAAAAAAUAUUAUCUUUUAAAUGUGAGAUGUUGUAUUAACAAAUGAUUUUAGUAAUUACGACUGAUUAUAGUUAAAAUGUUGCUGAUAAUAUUAACAAAUAUUACUAUACAAUUAACUUUAUAAAAUUAUAUUUAAUAAUUAUUAAUGAAGUUGAAUUAGUUUAAAGUUUUUUGUGAUAUCUUAUAUUUUACAUAUAUAUAUAUAUAUAUAUUAGGAAAAAAUGUAAAUAUAUGUUGUUAAAAGUUUGUAAGGCAUCUAAAAGUGUUGGACCUUGUUAUGGCAUGUUCGUGCUGUUGAAAAUCACGAAGCCUGGGAAAUAAUUUGUAAGGCAUCUAAAAGUGUUGGACCUUGUUAAACGAACAGAGGUAGGGGUGGACACUUUACCCGAAAUCCGAAGUGGCACCUAAACCCGAUCUGAAAAACCCAAACCGAAAUCCGAACCGAAGUAGCAAAAUACCCGAACGGGUAUUAAAUUAGGAGAGAUUGGAUAUCCGAACCCGAACGGAUAAUAUCCGAACCCGAAUGGAUAUCCGAAGAUAACCGAACAUAUAUAUAAUUAACUUUAUAUUUCUACUUUACAUCUCUCAUUUUAUAUAAAACAUUUAUAUUGAUAUUACAUAUACUUUAAGUUCAUAUGAUAUAUAUAUAUAUAUAUAAUUAUGAAAAAAAUGAUUUGCUACUCACUUAAAAUGCAUGUCAAGUUUUUUACUUCAAAAAUUAACAAAAAGUUACAUCAAAAUUUUAAAAACAAUAACUAAAUUAAUGUUUUUUUAGUUUUAAAAUGUUAUGUCCAAAUCUAUUAACCAUUCAAUCUAUUAAAAAUAAAAAAUAAGUUAAGUGAAAUUUAUAUUUUUAAAUACAAGAAAUUUGAGAAAUUAAAAUUGAAUUUUUUUCUUUCAAAAUCUAAAUAUCCGAACCCGAUCCGAAAUAACCGAAACCGAACUAAAAAUACCCGAACCCGACCCGAAGUACAGAAAUAUCCGAACGGGUUCUACACUUGUAUACCAAAAUACCUGAAAAUCUCAAAUACCCGAUCCGAACCCGAACGGGUAUCCGAACGCCCACCCCUAAAGAUGGAUAUCGUAAUUUGAUGGCUGGAGUCAGCUUAUUAUAAGUUUUGGUUCGAUCCGUUCAGAAAUAAUAAAUGUCGGUUCUGUUCAGAUCGAAUCGGUUUGGUUCAACAAAACAAAUCAACACCCGAGUCCCUCCCCCCACCCAAACGCCUCCAUAAACCUCGUGUGCUUCAGAGGAUCUCGUCUUCUUCUCUCUUUCUAAUCGAAAAUGGGAACGUUGGGACGAGUAAUCUACACUGUGGGUAACUGGAUCCGCGGGUCUGGGCAAGCUCUAGAUCGCGUCGGUUCUCUUCUUCAAGGGAGCCACCGCUUGGAAGAACACCGUAAGCCACAUUCAAACCCUAGAUCCAAAUCCACAUCUCGAUUCGAGAAAUUGGUGGUCUAAUUUAGGCUCUCGUUUUCCAUUGGUUGUUUUGAUGACAGUAUCGAGGCAUCGGACGUUGAUGAGUGUGUUUGAUAAAUCACCAUUGGUGGAUAAGGACGUGUUCGUGGCUCCGAGUGCCUCUGUUAUUGGUGAUGUUCAGAUUGGGAAAGGCUCCUCUAUUUGGUAUGGCUGUGUUCUUCGAGGUAAAGGCCUUUUCUUUCCCACUAAAUCCUUUAAAAUGUUUUGUCUUUGGUAGCGUUAAGGCAAAGCCAAAUGAUAUUUGGUUGUUGGGAAUAGUAUGUCCCCCACAAAGACUUAAAAAACAAGAUUUGAUAUAAAUUGCAAGCCAAGUAUCAAAUUUGCAGCAUUAUACUUUGCAAGAUCGUGUGCAUUCGUUACAGUUUAGAUCUUUGCUGAUUUACUUGAUUGUCCUUUUCAUUUGAAGGUUCUAGGUUUAGUGUAUUCCUGAUGAGACGUUGUGAAAUAGCUGGAACUCAUUGUAACUUUUGUGCAGGUGAUGUGAAUAACAUCAGUGUUGGAUCUGGGACCAACAUCCAAGACAAUUCUCUUGUACAUGUUGCAAAAACCAACUUAGCUGGGAAGGUUUUGCCUACUACAAUUGGGGACAAUGUCACAGUAGGUAAACUUCUAAAACUGAUUUAUCAGCUUUUGAGAAUCUGUUUUAUGUAAUGUGUUCUGUUGCAUGAUUCUUACUUAAAAUCUUUGUGUGUAAAAAUUAAACCGAGCAGGUCAUAGUGCUGUCAUACAUGGUUGUACUGUUGAGGAUGAGGCUUUUGUUGGCAUGGGUGCUACACUACUCGAUGGUGUAGUGGUUGAGAAGCAUGCCAUGGUUGCUGCUGGUUCCCUUGUGAGAGAGAACACACGAAUCCCUUCUGGAGAGGUUUCUUUCUAUUCUCUUUUUCUUUUCUGGUUUACUUUCUACUGCGUUUGUGAUAAACAUAUUGACAAGUUAACAAACAAUUCAUGUGGCAGGUAUGGGGAGGAAACCCAGCAAAGUUCAUGAGAAAGUUAACAGAUGAAGAGAUAGCAUAUAUCUCAAAGUCGGCUGAGAACUACAUCAACCUCGCACAUAUUCACGCAGCAGAGAACUCAAAGUCAUUUGAAGAGAUCGAGAUUGAGAGAGCGCUUAGGAAGAAGUAUGCACGCAAGGAUGAGGAUUACGAUUCAAUGCUUGGGAUUGUCCGUGAAACUCCAGCGGAAUUGAUUCUCCCCGACAAUGUCUUACCGGAGAAAACUACCACCAGGGUUCCAACUACUCAUUACUGAUUCACCCGCCUCAGGUUGUUUUGCAGACAAAGAUUGAUUAAGUCAAGAGAGAUAUUAUCUUUUGGUUUUGCCCUUUUUUUCUUCCGAGUAAGCAUGGGAUUUGUUAUAUUCUUGCUCAAUAAAGCCGAAAAGAACAUGUACUGUUGCAUUAUGUCACAUUUGUUGGAUGAAUAAUUGCAUAAAGAAAAACGAUUUGCAUUCAUUGUGUUCUUCUCUUUUGCUGAUGAUGAUGAAAAUGAGUUUGGUUUCAAGGAUGAAUUAGUGUAUAGAGAUCAUGAUUUCUGAAUCCAAGUUAUAAACUAUUAGGACUUGGUGUUUUGGUUUAGUUUUUUGAGUUCUUAUUUUGCUAUUAAGACUUGGUGUUUUACUAUUUAAGCAAGGUUUUUUUUUUGCAUUGGUGUUGCUGUUUUGGACUAAAAUGUGGUUGAUUUGGUGUGUUUGGUUCUAGCAUACAUAUUUUACAAAGAUGCUGAUGAACUUAAAGUGGGACUAUAAGAUGGUUUGAAUACGUUUUCUAUAAUGCAUACGCAUGGCAUUUGGCUGAGUCUCAAGACCAAACCAAGCAUUGCGUGACUAAUAACAGAGACAUCACUGGAAGCUGACAAACAAUAUUUGGUCAGUGGAACGAGCAGGACCUGUGUUGCCUUGUCCCAUCCACAGACCACCGCUUAUCAAUAAUCCAGACAGUUCUCAGGGAUAUACCGAUUCGUAACAUCUAAUAAGAUGGCACCAGCAUAAAUUCUAAACAAAACAAACCUGAUUCAGUUUGCUUAGGUAAAAACUAUUACUGAAAAUUGUAACCUCAAAAAAAACACACAAAGAUUUCACGCUGAGUAAAAAGCAAAAUACUUGGGACAUAGACUGAUUUUUAAAUUCAGCUUGGAACUUUAACACCAAAGAGCUAAAGACGGACACAGUUAUAAUUCCAAAGUUAUUUGUGAUCAAACUCUAACACUCUCACUUUCUCACAUUUCCAUUGGUGCAACAUCCUGAUCACCUGCACCACCUUGUUCUGCAGCAGCAGCUUCAGCCUCGGCCUCACCACCAUCCUCCUCUUCCUCGGGAACGUUCUCAAACGUAUCAAUCACCUUCUGUAUGCUAUCCUGGUCCAAGAAAUGGAAUGGUUCAUCGACUCCUAGAACAGAAACGGUGCAGAGCGAGCUCUUGAGUGUCUCCCCUUGCAAAGUUUCCCUUAUGGCCAAAAUAGCAUCUUUGAUCAGAUCUUCUCUUGAUGACUCAUUGAAGCUCUCGAAUCUUCGUUCUAGAUAAGUUUUCGCAGCUUGUGAACGUGACCCGAUGGCGAACGCUUGGUACUCAAAGUAGUUUCCGCUGGGGCAGUUGUAGUAGAGGUGGGCUCCUGACUCGUCCAGUCCCCCUACCAGCAAACCCACACCAUAAGGUCGUUUCCAUGACCGUUGGGUACAUACCUGCUCAGAAAAAAAGUAUGAAGAGGGUAAACACAAGAUCAACAAACAAGUUCAACGAUCAAUAAUACCAGAGUUUUGUUCAAAGUACAAGAUUAAUAUAUGAGGCUUAUGGUCAGAAAUCAACCGAGAAAAAUGUCAAUAGAGCAGCUAACUAGACCUGUUGAAGCUGUGAAUACAUUAUUAAACUUAGAACUCUAAAUUAGACGCCAAAGUGAACAUAUACCACAAAGUUUCUAUUGCAAUUGUAAAACAAGAUCGUACUGGACGAGCACAAGAGAGGGUGAGUACACACCACAAGUGAACACACACAAAGUAGCGCAAGUUGAAACCACAAAAACCAAAAAGAGAAGAGCGAAGACUGUAUAUCCAAUUUUGCUUACAAAAUUGAAGAUAACAAAAGAUGCAAACAGCAACAAACACAACUAAAGUAUAAAAGCAGGCACAUUCUUAUACAGUUAUAUUGCCUCAAGUUGAUAACUUGUACAGCAUUCCCUUGUUAUAUUUUUGUUGGUAAAAUUCAAUAUUCGAACCCAUGACCUCUAGCACAAAACUAUGUCACACUGUCUAAAGUCAAUCUCUUUUGUUGUAUGUAAAAUUCAAUAUUCGAACCCACGAACUUGAGGUUUGGAAUGUUAAAGUGUUCUUAUCACAAAGCUACUAUGGUCACAUUGGUCUAAAGGCUAUGUAUGUCUUUUUUGUAAAAUUCAAUAUUCGAACCCAAGACCUUGAGGUUUCAAACGUUAAAGUGUUCCUACUACCACAAAGCUACUAAAAAGGCUAUAUCUUUGUAACUCAAGAGGCGGCGAGAGGAGGGAAAGGAGUAAACCUGGGCCUUAUCAGCAAGACGAACGACGAGGCGGCCAACAGGGAGAGGAGACUCAUAGGUGAAAGAGUGAUUGAUGGAUUCAGAUCUCAUGUAACGCGAGAGCACACGGCCAUCGGCGGUGAGUCCAGCGAUGGCGACACCGAUGUGGUCAUCGACUUUGAAGAUCUUCCUUUGGUGAGAAGAGAGCUCCGACUGGGCUUUAUUGACGGAGGCGAGGACGACAUGGGAGCGAGAUCUGAGCCCGAUUGCGGCGGAGCCUUGCUUGACGGCUUCCAUGGCGUACUCUACUUGGAAAAGACGACCGGUGGGACUCCAUGUUGUCACGUCUGUGUCGUACUGGUUCCUGAACAUCCUUGCUUCUUCUUCUUCGUCUUUGUUCGUCAAAAGAGUGUGUAUAGAGAGAAAGACGCAGUGAAAGAGGAAAAGCUUUUCGUUUGGUUUGGUUUGGUUUCUCUUUGAAGGGACGUAGAUGGGCUCUUAUAAGACCUAGAUGGGCUUACAUAAAUCUAAAAUGCCCAUAGAAAAUAGAGCAAUUGGCGUGCAUUGCAGAAAAUCAUGUAAACAAAUGCUCAAGUCUUAUUUGAAACUGAGUAUAAUUGUGGUUAUUUACCAUUUAAUCAUUUCUCUUUCUUAUCGCUACUUCCUACUCCCUAGAGUUUAACUUAUAGCAAGAGCCGGCCUUGGAAACAAAACGAAGCUUGUGUUUCUGGCCGCCAAAUAUUAAGAUAAUAACCAGCCACAUAUGGACAGUAAAUUCUCAGUAGCAUAGUGGUUGGCGUGUGGUUACAAGUAUUACAGGGUAGCAUAUUACUUGUAGUUGGCUUUGCUUAUAGCAGACUAGUAAUAUUUAUAUAAUAUUUUAGUUAUAUAUUUAUCUCAUAUUUCAUUUAUAACUAGGUGUUUUUAGCACUAUGUGCAGUAAUAAUUUUUAAAAAUUUAAAUCAUCUUUAAAAUAAAUUUUAUUAACAUUUUAGAUUUUAUUAUUUUUACCAAUAUUUUAAUAUAAAUUUAAUUUAAUUAAACAUAAAAUUAAGAUAAAAUACUGUUUUCUUUAUUUUAAAUUAUAUUUAAGAAUAUAUAUAUAUAUGUAUAUUUUUAAAAUUUUAACCUUAGAUAUAUUUUUCACUCUAUUUUUUUUUUGGUUAAAAAUAUUAAUCAACUAUAAAAUUAAUAAAAAAAUGAUAUAAAAUUAUAUCAUUAUCAAAAAUUAAAACUAAACAGUAUUUAUAAAAUUUAUGGGUAUAUAAAAGAAACUAAUGAUACUAGGAUUAAAAAAUUAUAAGUUUUUUAAAAAUUGUAGAAAAUUUUACAAAAUUUAGUAAUAAAAAUUAUAUAAUUCUAAAAAGUAAAUUACAUAAUAUUAUGCAUAAGCCAUGUCAUCAACUUUAGUAGCUAUGUCUCAUUUUUUAUGUAAAAAUGAUUGUAGAAAAUGAUUGUACGUAGAGAGAACAUGUGAUAAAUCACUUCUAAAAUAAUGUCUAUGGGAUCUAAUUUUCUCUUUCUUUUUCAGGUGCUUUUGUUCGACAGAAUUACAAAAGUUAUAAUCACUACUGAAGGAAAAGAUGAAGAUGUUGUCCUUAAUAUGUAUGUAGUCAUCCUAUUUUUCUGCUCAUUUCGAUAUUUUUUUCUAUUCUCUAAGUAAUUUUCUUUCGCACCUCAUGUGAUCUUAGUACUUAUAAAAUCAAAUUUGUGUCUAUUUGAUAAAGACUGGAAGCAGUUAAAGGAGAGAGAGGAGCUGGCUGUGAAAGCCAAAAGGUUUGAUGAUAGUAAUGAUAUCAUAAAUUGUUUUGUUGAGUUUGAAUUAACUCAUUGUGCCGAAUUGGCUCAAUUUGUUUAAAAAAAUGAAGUCAAUAUAUUUUAGAUUUUAUAUAUAAGAAUGUUUAUUUUUACCAGGUAUGUGUUUUUAAUAAUUGAAGGUUGUGUAAUUUUAUAAAAGGAUAUCACUUACAUUUUUUAGUCUAAAUUACAUAUAAAAAUGAUGAUUAGGUAAAUUUGUUGAAAAAAUUAAGUAUAACUUGUAAGUUAAUAUCAAGUUGACAUGAAAUACUCUGAUUUAACCAUAUAUUCUAUUUAAAUAGAAAUCAACAUAACCUUUACUCUGACCUCAGUGGAUUCUUUCAUCAACGUAACUUCACGAACAUGGAAUACCAGACAAUUCUGUCUUUGGUAGAUCCCUAGGAUGUGAAUAUUAUUGAAAGUAUACCAUUGAGCUUGACUCGUAUAACAUACAGAGAUGGAUGUCAUUUUACCAAUAAUGGAAAAUACACUGUGAAAUAUGGAUAUCAAGUGGAACGAUUUUUUCCCGACAGAGAAAAAGCGCACUGAAGGCUUUUUGUUGGAAAGUAUGUUACUCCCUAAAAAUAAAACACUUCCUUUGGCAACUAGUAUCAGAAUGUAUAUAUAGCGGUUAAGAAAAACUUGAGAGCGAGACAUAUUCAGUGUGAUAUAUAUUGUGUCAGACAUAGAGCAAUUGAAGAAACAAUAAAUCAUGUGUUUUUUAAAUGUCCUCCAGCGGUGCAAGUUUGGGCACUUUCAUAGAUCCCAUCAAAUCAAUAUAUUUUUCCGGUUCAAUCAUUCUUUACAAAUAUGAAUCAUCUGUUUUGGAUAGUUUCUCCGCAUAUGGAAAACCAUAAACUUGCUUAGGUUUUAUGGUACAUUUGGAGAGGACGAAACAACAAAGUUUUUAGUAAUUUGGAUACUGAUCUGAGGGAUACUCUCAAAUUGGCAGAGACAAAAUCAUUACUUUGGGCAGAGGCUCAAGAUACUCUUACUCAGAGGGUCGUCCAAUCUAGGGAUGUAGAAGACUCAAUUUUACCUUCCAUACCGAGAAGAUGAUGUUUUACGGAUGGAUCAUGGAAAGAAUAUGAAAGUCAUUCGGGACACAGUUGGUAUAGCAUGCUUGAAGGCUUUCAUGAACUGAUGGGAGCAUGCAAUACCAGGGCCAGUCUUUCACCCCUUCAUUCGGAAAUAGAGGCGCUUAUUUAGGCAAUGGAAUGUGAGAGGAAUUUAAGGCAAUAUCAUGUCAGUUUUGCAAUGGAUUGUUCUCAAUUGGUGAAGAUGGUUUAUGAACCAGAAAAAUAGCCAGCCUUUGCAAGUUAUUUGGAAGAUAUCAAGUUCCUAAAAUGAUGUUUCAACCAUUCAGACCUCAUUCAUAUACCUAGAACACAUAAUACCAGGCCGAACAGCCUCACACACAGUGCGAGGAGACAACCAUCGUUCGUCGUUCAUAUGGAUGCAGAAUUACCAGCUUGGUUUGCAGAGUCUUCAUGAGUCUGUUUAUGUCGAUGACAAAAAAACAUAUUUGAAGAUGAUAUUUUAUUUCAUUUCACUUGAUAUUAGAACAAAUUAUAGUUAUAUAAUCUUAUAAAAGGAUACCAAAAGCAUAUUCGACCUAUUAUAUAGAAACAUUGACUUAUUUUGAGAAGCUUAAAUACAAAUCAUAGUAAAUAUGUACGUCAAACUAUCUGUACUCUGACAUUUCUAGAUCCUCCAUAAGUUAAUGUCGUUGUACUCCAACUUCUCUAGAUAUUCUACAUUUUUUUAUUUAUAAAUACCAGUUACUUGAUCAGUUGAUGGAUAUGUUAUUUUAUUAAAAGAUAUUUCUAAAAGUAUAGUUAUGUGAUUGCACUAGUGAUUAACCAUUUUUUAGAAAGCUUGUCAUGUAUGGAUUGUUGGAUGUAAAAAGUCUACCCGUACAAGGAAACAUAAAAGUAGCUCUCUAAAAAAUCACAACAACAUAAUAUUGAAAAGGUUGUUAGCUGGAUAAAACUUUCUAAGUACAACUAAUAUUAAUUUUAAUUGUACUUAAAAGGUUUUAUCUGGUUAACAACCCCUUUCAAUCUUAAUAUAGUUUUCAUUUGAAAAUUGUGUCAAUUUGAACAUUUUGAUGAUCAAUCAUGCGCAUUUAUUAAAAGAAGGAAAGCUCUAGAUGCAUGUAAACUAUUAUUUUUAGUAAAAAAUAGUUACAAGGAGAAAACACUUUGAACAUGUGAAAACCAAAUGUUUUUCUGUAAACUAAUACUAGUUUAUUAUAUAUGCAUGUAACAUAUCAACCAAUUUUUGUGUGCAGAAAAAUUGUUAGAAUUAGUGUAAGCAUCAACUAAAAAUAGUUUUAAUAAUCAUGGUCAUAUCCACGAGAUCUAACAUCUUCAUUAGUGGCUUCUCAUGUCAACAACUUUUCCUAUGCCACAAUCACUGGAACCACCCACCACCACCACCACCCAUUUUAAUAAAGCUAUCAUCUUUUUACAUUCUAGUAAGGAACCAAAAUUGCAUCAGCUUCUCCAUUCCCUUGAUCCCUUUCACUCUCAUCAAAGAGAUCUUGUUGCGGAUUCCCUUAUCAAUCAUCCUUUUAAUCACUGGUAGUGGCAAUAACUUAUCACCAUGCAUAAGCUUGUUACGCUCUCUCCAUACUGCAUACAGAACUUCUUGGAAAGCAUAUCUUAUACAGAAGAGGCUCAUCUUUUCUCUUUUCUCAUCCAAUAGAAUAGCCAAGAUCUCAGACCAGAUAACUGUAUAGGAGUCUCGUAAAAUACCUUUGGCUAUAAACUCCCAUAUCUGUGCAUAGUAAUCACUUUCGAAGAAUAAGUGACUCCUCGUUUCUGCAGCAUUUUUACAGAGCACACAUGUAGUGUCCAGUCCCUGGCUCCAUCUUGAUGCUCUGUCUAAGGUCGACAUUCUAUCUCUUAUCAACAACCACACCAUGAAUGCAAACUUUGGAGUUUCUUGAGAAAACCAUAUACCCCGAGCCCAAGAGCAUUGUGUCUUACUCUCUCUGAGCAACAACCAAGUUUCACUAGUUGAAAAUCUUUGUUUAAAUCCUGAUUUCCCUUUCCAUAGACUCACAUCCUUUCUCUCUUGAUUUAGCUUUCCCCCAAUAAUAAUCAACUCCUCCUCUAUUUCAAUGAGUAAACUCAUACGGUGUCAUGCGUCUCCUUCUAGUAUUUAACACAGCUUCCUCCAAAGUCGCAACCCUACUCACUCCCAAGUCGAUAAUGCCUCGAGGCCCUAGCAAAUCAAAGAGAGCUCCCUUAUUCGACCAGUUAUCAAACCAGAAAGAUAUAUGUCUUCCAUUACCCAGCUAUUUCUUGUGAAACAUCUUUGCAACUUCUCUAAGUUUCAAUAUUUUACGCCACAUCCAAGAUCCAUUCUGAGUAUUGACGCUUAAUUUCCAGAAACUUUUCCCUUUCAGAAAAUUUUCUUUGAUACAUUUACCCCACAGCGAGUCACCCGAUAACAUUAUCCAUAUCAACUUAAGGCCAUAUACCUUAUUAACUUCCUUUAGAUCUCUUAGUCCCAGACCACCUUCACUCUUCAUACUACAGACAUCUCUCCACGCUACUUUGGCAUUUGACGACUUAAGUAUUGGUCCUGUCCAAAGAAAUGUUGCGCAUUGCUCCACCUCUUUAAUACAAGCACUUGGGAGACUAAAUACUACUAACCAGAAGUUUGAUUAGACUCAUUAAAACUUGUUUUAUUAACUGCAGUCUACCGGCAUAUGACAAGAAUCUGCACGUCCAAGAGCUUAUUCUGCUUCUGAUAUUUUCCAGUAGCGAAAGAUAGUCUUGCUUCCUCAUCACUUGGGUCAUAAGGGGGAGUCCCAGAUACCUCACUGGAAGUUCACCUUCAGCAAAUGGGAAGUUAGUUAAGAUACUCCUUUUCUCUGCCUCCGGUACUCCUGCCAUAUAUAUUGUAGAUUUCUCUAGGCUAAUUUGUAACCCUGACCACUCUUCAAACUCAUCAAACACAGAAAGGGGCUCCCUCUAUAGACUUUUUAGAACCUUCAACGAACACCAUUAAGUCAUCUGCAAACAAAGAUGUGUUCUAGAAAGCUUCUUACAUCCCGGAUGUAGUUUGAACUUCUUAUCAGCCACUGCUCUAUCUAUUUUUAAAGAUUGCACGUUCAUAUAGAGAACAAACAAAUACGGAGACAGAGAACAUCCCUGACGAAGACCCCUCGAGCUUUGGAAAUAGCCAGCUAGAUCACCAAUGACUUGCAGAGAACAGGAUGGGCUUGUGAUACAUAGCUCAAUCCAAUGGAUAAACCUUUCCGGGAAACCCAAUACCCUCAAACUCUUCAGAACAAACUCCCAUUGCACCGAGUCGAAUGCUUUAGCAAUGUCAAUCUUCAUAACACACCUUGAAGACACUGCAUCCUUGUGAUAACCCUUAACAAGCUCAGAUGCAAGCAGCAUAUUCUCCAUGAGAAGUCUACCUUGUAUAAAAGCCGGCUGAGUCUUUGUUAUGAUUCUUGGAAGUAGCUUCUUCAGUCGAUUUGCCAAAAAAAUUGACACAACCUUAUAGAGUACGUUACAGCAUACAAUAGGAUGGUAAUCUUUCAUCUCCAUCGAAUCAAAUUUCUUAGGAACUAACGCAAGAAUUGUCGAAUUAACACCCUUUGGCAAAAACCCAAAUCUGAAGACUGAUUGUACCGCAACAAUGAAAUCCUGAGAUAUAACCGACCAAGCUGUUUUGAAAAACCCACACGGGUAGCCGUCUGUCCCUGGAGCCUUGUUGUUCGGCAUAGCAAAGAGAACUUUCUGAAUUCCAUCUUCAGUAACUUUUGCUUCAAGAAUACUACAAUCCUCAGAUGAGCAACGAAACUUUAGCAAUUCCUGUAACUCCUCCUCAGAUGCACCCUUGUAAUUCUCUGGCUUGUGAUUUAGAAAUUCUGAAAAAAAAAUUCUCUGCCUCUUGCUUUAUCUCUGAAUGUUUAGUCACCACUCUUCCAUAUGUACAUCUUAUCUCCCUGAUCAUGUUCUGAGCUUGUCGGGUUUUGAUAGCUCGAUAAAACGUCUUAUUAUUCUUAUCUCCACUAUCUAGCCAAUGUAGCUUCGCUUUCUGCUUUAAGUAUUCUUCUUCUAGACUUGCCACAUGUAGGCAUUUACCAUAUGUUUAUGCCUCCUCUUUGACAGAUGCUUCGCUCGGAUUUGCUAGUGUGUUACUCUGCUUCACACAUAGCAGAUCAUACGCCUCUUUUGCUCGAAUUGUUAAGUUGCCCAUCUUAUCUCUUCCCAACUCACGAAUCAACGGCUUCAAAUGCUUUAACUUCUUUGAGAAUCUGAACAACGCCGAGGUAGAGUGAAACAGUCUUUUCGUUGUAUCCCAAUACCUCUGGACCAUAGGAAGAAAGUCAGGCAGGCUACCUAUCACAUUGAUAUACUUGAAGGGUCUUUUGACUUUCUCACUCGGAGGAAACAGUUGAACUUUGCACCUCAUGUGAUCCAAACAUCCCCCUGCUUCAAAAACUGCAUAAGCAUUACUAAAUCUUUGCAGACCCUCUUUAUUUAGUAAUACCCUGUCCAGCUUCUUGCAAAUUACUCCAUCCUCCCUCUUAUUACUCAUGUAAACUGUGGCCCUUGAUAAUGUCAGAGAGCUGACACUGAAGAACCAAACUCUGAAAGUCUCUCAUUCCACACGGGAUCCUACUCAUGUUAUCAAACCUCGAACUCUCAGCUCCAUCAAGAAUUUCAUUAAAGUCUCCCAUGAUCAUCCAAGCUUUAUUUUUGAAGCUAGGAGAACUAUGAUGAUGCACAAGAUCCUCCCACAAUUCCUUCCCACCCUCUACUUGAUUACUCACAUAUAUACAUCAGCAAUAGAACUUUUCUUCUCCUUUCAUCUCCACCAAACAAAUGACUAUCUGAUCAGAUUUAUAUACAGGCAUCAUACGAAUCGUAUCUCUCCAUAAUAACCAUAUUCUUCCUCCUUGGCUAUCUUCGUAAUUUGUUAUUGAUGACCAAUCUCCAAACAGUACUCCUCUUAAAAUCUUCCAUGCUUUCCCUUCCUUAACUCUAGUUUCCAAUAUACAACCAAACUUCAACUCCUUAUUAUAUUUACCCACUCUUUUACUAUGGAAUGCUUCAAAUCUUUAUUGAAUCCACGAACAUUCCAGAAAAAGCACGUCAUUUUUAAAGAUUUCACCGAGAAGACCUUUUACUCUUCGGCUGAACCUCAUGAGCCUUGGUCUUCUGAACUCUUCUUCCACCUCUUAGUUUUACUACCUUGUUUUUCUCUUCCAGGAUCUCAUCCUCCAACAAAUCUCCUUCCAAUAUAUUUGUAUUCUCCGCUUCCUCAUGUUCCUCACUCUCCACUUCCUGUGAUUCUUCUAGUUCACCCUCCUCAACUUCAUCUAUUGAAAGAACAUAAUACUUUGACGCCGAGAUUUGGACUUCACUAGCAUCUCUCUGCAGAGAAUUUUGCACUCUCCCUAUUUUAUCUGGUGAGACAAGUGACCAACCACUACCUCUCACCUGUUUUUCCCCAGUGCCUACCAUUUCAGCCUUAUUAACUUCUCCAAUAGAAUCAUCCUCCGAAAUGACUACCUCCCGGUUCUGUAACUCUUCCUCCUGUUUACUAUCUUUCUCCCUCAACCCUACUAUAGCUUCACUUCCCACUUUAUCACAAUUCUUCUCACCAGUUUCCUUCCCCUCUAUCUUCUUAUCUCUUUUCUUCCUCACACAAACCUUGUCUGUAUGUCCCCAUUUCUCGCACAAGUUACAUCGAGAAGGUAACCAUGUGUAAUAAAAUUCAGCAGUGAACUCCUUCCCUCCCAUUGUGAAAUCAAUCUCCUUAGGCAACGUCUUCGAAAUAUCAACAUUCACAAACACUUUCGCUUCUUCAUAUUUUGAACAAGACAUUGUCUUUGGGUGAAGACGAACAGGAAACUCCACAGUACUCGUCAUGAAGCUUCGAGCCUCCCAUGAGAACGUGUUCAGAGGAAUCUUUCUUAAAUGCACCCACAUUGGUAUAGCUUCCUCCUCCUGCUUAUCCUCUUCUACCUUAGGCGUCCAUUUCUUCACAACCAUAGGAACUCCAGCUAUAUUCUACAUUGGUAUAGUCUUCAUGGCUUUAGCUUUUGGCUUUUAUUAUUUCCUCUGUUUCUACGAUAGUUUCUUCUUUGCUUUCAACUGACCCCCAUAACCUAUGUUGCUUCCUGCUUAAUUAAAAAUCCAAUCAAUAUCCACCACUAAAUAGUCAAACUCUUACCGAGAUUGUCUUGUUGUGAACCUCAGCAACCAACCCAUGUGCUUGAUACCAUGUUAAAGUUCAUAGAAAGAACUUUAAAAACCUCAGCCUUCUUCUUAAUCGACAUUGAAAGAGCAUGAAAUAGUGUGUUGCAAGAGCUUAGCUUAAUGUAAACUUGAGUAGUAUCUGAGUUGAUGAAAAGCUGCACAUUUCUCACUUUGGUUUCUCUGACAUCCAAAUCAGUUGAGACCAAUAUAAAUUUCAAUGUGGUAUUAGUCAGGUAAUUGAAACCUAGAGAAGAAUAACACAUGAAAGGAGUCCAUCAGAGACAGAUAGGCUAAGAAUAACACAAAUGUUAAGUGUAGGCACAAUUCACACUACUUAACGCUUACACUUUGUAGUUCACCUAAAGGAUAAAAUAGGCUAAGAAGUGCCUCGUUGAAUGUUGUACCAGAUAUUUUCGGAUUAUUAACUGCAUAAAAAAGUUAGACACAUUUCCAAAGAGGAAAAGAACAUUACGAUGUAGUCUCUAUAUAUAUUUACAAAUGUCGUAUAUAGUAAAUACCAAGUAAUAUAGACAAAAACGAAACGGAAAGAAAAAGUUCUUGCGAUUCAUUUGGAGAAACAAACAUUGACACUAAGAGAAAUGGAUCUAAUAAAGUAAGAACCCUUAUCAUACAAUUUUGUUUUCCCUUGAAGUUCGGAAUGUAUAAACGGAUCUACGAAACCUUCAUGGUUAAGCUUCCCGUCCACCUUGAGGCGACGAAGUAGCAGUUCGUAAUAUGGCAUUCAAUCAAGGUUCCCACUACAUUUUCUUUAGUUCAAGCAACCGAUGUUAUUGGAUAACACCAACACAGAUUUUCGAGGUCUCUCAAAAUUGAACCUUUACCAGUUUUUCUUCUAAUAUUUUAUUUCAUCGAAACCAAAAAGGAAAGAAAAAGUUUUUGCAAUUCAUUUGGAGAAACAAACAUAUACAUGAAGACAAAUUCUAAAUAGAAAAAAAAACAAUAUUGGAUAAAAUAAAGGACCUUGAGAGCGUGAGGGGAUCACCAACAUCUGUCAAGCUCUGCAUCUAAGGUGGAUUGUUCUGUGUGGAUCCUAGAUCAGAGACAAUGAAUCAAAUCCAAAAAUCGGUGAAUAAAGUCAGCGGUUAAUCUUGAGAGCGACAACGACGGAUCUGGAAGUUCUGAUGUUAGAGACGACGAAUGGGCUUUAUAAAACAAAAACCAGACAUCGAAUAUAAGCAAAAGCCCAAAAAAAAUUAUAAACCUAAACAAAUAAAAUGGUGAGUUUUGUUAAAGCGGACAGGUGUCGCUCCCAGAACGCACGACUUAGUGACAUGGCAGCACCAGGAGGGAGCAAACAUCUUUUUAUAUAAUGGAUAAAAGAAAGGACCUUGAGAGCGUGAGGGCAUCACCAACAUCUGUCAAGCUCUGCAUCUAAGGUGGAUUGUUCUGUGUGGAUCCUAGAUCAGAGACAAUGAAUCAAAUCCAAAAAUCGGUGAAUAAAGUCAGCGGUUAAUCUUGAGAGCGACAACGACGGAUCCGGAAGUUCCGAUGUUAGAGACGACGAAUGGGCUUUAUAAAACAAAAAGCAGACAUCAAAUAUAAGCAAAAGCCCAAACAAAUUAUAAACCUAAAUAAAUGAAACGGUGAGUUUUGUUAAAGCGGACAGGUGUCGCUCCCAGAACGCACGACUUAGUGACAUGGCAGCACCAGGAGGGAGCAAACAUCUUUUUAUAUAAUUAGAUAAUUAGAUAUGCAGAUUCACUUAUCCACAAUAUGAUGUACACACAUGUUCAAACUCACUUUCCACUUUGUUUUAUCCAUGCUCAGGUGUCCAUUUUGUUUUGUCCACUCUCACUCAAACUUCAAUUUUAGACUAUCUACAAUGAGCUAUUGAAUAAUAAAAAAAAAUCAAUAGUUGAAAAGACAAUGGUCUAUUGAAAAACAAGUUGAAUCAUACUUAUAUUAAAUAAAUUUGAAAGAAUUUAACAAUGUUGAAUCGGUAAAGUGGAGCCAGAGUGAAGCCAUCAAUGACCACCUUUCAUGAAGUUAUUGGCUAUAGAGAUUUCUGAUUUGUUUUUCGUCUGAAUUAAUUGAGAUAAAUUAUUUCAUUAAAUAAUUUUGAAAAAAUAUAUUUUUACACCAAGAUUAUCAUGUUUCAUAUUUUAUAAAUAGAGACUUGCUCCAUUUAAUUUUGAAACAAAAAAAACUUAUCUAUUUCUACUAUAUUUUCUAGUAGACUACAAUAAACUCUUGUUUAUAUAUUUUCCCUUUUUCAGUGAAAUGAAUCCCAAAAAUAACUUUUUAACACCCAAAGUUCUACUAAUCAUCCUUUUAACUAUCCAAAUCCAACAACUAUCAGUUUUAAAAUAUUGGAGAAAUGAAUUGGUGCAUACGACAACGCUAAGUGUAUGCAGCAAGGUAUUAGUCGAAAAUGAUAUAUUGGCGCAUGAGCUAUAUUAGAGUGAUAAGAAUGGGCAUUUUAUUUAAUGUCAGAAUGAUGGCUCGCUGUCUGUGAUCAACCACGUUAUGGUAGUCAAGUAUGAGGAAAUACUGGUUUUGGAAGCAGUGGAUUUAAGAGAGCCCAUGAAAGUGAUGCUCGAAACUCCAGAUCUGUAAAAUUUAGUGCUCGUCCAAUGGGGAUGAAUGCAUAUAAGAAGAAAAAAAGAUAAAAAUAUGGGCUCUUACCAGCCUUGGAUGUGGUCAAUGAAAAUUUCAUUGAAUUCAAACAAAUCAAAGGGCAAUAGUUGUAACACUUGAAAAAAUUAGUCAUGUUGCAAAAGAAUUGAAACCAAAGGUGAAAAGAGGCAACCCAAAGGAAAGAAGAAGCAAACAAAUUAAUGAAAUAAAAGAUUCGGUCUACGAAUAUAAAGAUGUGGUUGAAGUCAAGUGAAAAGGUACAUCUCAGUAACAAGAGCAGAGAAAUGUCCCAACAGUUGAGCCACAAAUUAUUUGGAAAUUAAUUGUAGUCCCAAGUGGAUGUUUAUAUCAUGUCACUUCAUGCUUGUUUGUAUCAUGUCACCUCAUGCUUUAAUAAUGUUUGUUUGCUACUUUUUCUUUUAAUAAUGUAACAUGUGACUUUUGGCUUUUAUUGAGAAAAUCUUAUCCUCCAAUCACUCAACAUGCUUUAAGCAUUGAAUGUGGGGCAUAACAAAAGAAGAAAAAAAAUAACAUGCAUCGGACUUUACAUUUAGUUUUCAUUCAAACUUAAAAACGUAGAAUCAUUAACAAUAAUAAAAUAUAAAAGUACUUGCAUGAAGAAUAAACUUUUUUAUAAAAAUCUUUCCUACAGGAAAUGGUAAAAGAGUGGGUUGUCGACUCUGGGCACCAAUGCAUGUCUAUCUUUUUUUCUUUUUCUCUUUGUCUAUAAAAAUACUACACACUCUUCAUUUUCUUCUUUCAAAGGGCAUUCAUUUCAAAUGACAACUGCAUCUUACUAUUGCGAGAACCUUGCAAGAAACAACCCCCAUCCCCCUUCCGCCCAAUCAAGUACCAGUUGCUUCGCAGCGCGGGUAGCCUCAAAUCAAAAAUCUUCUCUACUCAUAAUUUUUUUUUAUUUUCUUGUUUUAUAUAAAAAUUUAAGAUGAAGUUUUAUAUUAUGUUUAACUGAUUUUUCAUAUUUUUUAAGGUUGUCUCAUAUGCUUCUUUCCACCAAACAAUUCAAAAAUCAGAUACAUUUUUUUUGUUUCUUCAAUAAAUUAUGAAACUUCUGAAUUUUUUAAAAUAAGUUAAAUUUCUAUUCGAUAAUACUCAGUAAAAAUCAACCUGUUAUUUACAAAUAUAUUAUAACAUAUGCAAGCAUUUCAAUCAUCUAUAUAAUUUUAAAUAUUAUCUAUAUAUAUAUAUAUUAGUUUUAUGAAUUUAUGCAUGUUAUUGAUAUAAAAAUAUUUUUUUAUAAUAAAUUUAUAUUUGUAUAGUUAAUUAAUAUUUUACAAAAUGAAAUAGUAAAUAUAAUUUUUAUUCGUUCAUAUAUGUACUAUAACACAUGCAUGUAUUUUAAUCUUAUGUAUAAUUGGUUUUUUAAUUUUUUAUCUUCAGUUUUCUCUUAUAUUAAUAUUUUAUUAAAUAUUAUGGUACAUAAUUAAUUUCUAUAGCGAAUUAUAAAUACUUUAAUAGGUAUAACAUUUGUUUAAAUCUUAUGUAUUGCAAUUUAAUUACAGUCAAUAAUUAUUACCCAUCCGUUUUGAUUUACUUGUUAUUUUAGAAAAUCACGCAGAUUAAGAAAAUUAAUAUUUUUUCUGUUAUACCCUUAUCAAUCAAAUUUAUUUACAAGUUUAGUUAUCUAUUUAAUAUUUUAAAUUAGUUGUAAGAAAUAAUUUUCUUGUCGAAUAUUUUGGCUCUUAGCAUUCUUCACCAAAUUAUCUUUAACUAUUAGUUCAAUGAAUUAAUUAAAUUGACUACAUACUCCUGUUAACAUCAAUAUAUUUAGAGGGAAACUAAAAUUUUUACGUUUAAUUAUACGCAAAAACAAAACAUAGUGGAGGCAAGUAAACAGUUCAAAACUUUUGACAAUCAGUAUAUAAACAAAUCGUGCGAUAACAAAAGUAUCAAUGGCUAAUUCUGGUCAAAACCUUUUUACAUUCAACAAAUAAAAAGCAUUAUUUUGAUUUAAAAAAUCGUGUGAUAACAAAAGUAUCAGUGCCAUUUUCUGUCAAAAAUAAUUACUGAAAAAAUAUAAAUAGGCUUGUUAUCUUUAGAUUAUAAACAGUCUGGGCAAUUUUAACAUACAUGUUGACCACAUUGGAAAAGAUAAGAAAAAUAUUUCAUUGUAGAAAAUGGCGGUUGAGAUGAUGUUAAACGAAGAUUUUUUGAAGUAUAGUUAGUUAAUUUAAAACAUUUUGUUAUUUUAUAUUAAAGUUAGAAUAGUUAUUUUCUUGUAUAAAUCAUAUUGAAAAACGAGAAUGACGCUUAAUUUGUGACAAAAAUCAAACCUAAAACGACAAGUAAAUCGAAAUGAUGGCAGUAAUAUAUAAUCAGAAAAAGAAACAUAUAAGAACGUAAAAUUAUGAAAAAAAAAUUGUAGGGUAUUUUUCAACAAACCAUUGUGAAAUAUAAAAAAUGAGUGGGUAUUGAAUUAUUAUGUAGACGAUAGAAACGAUGACGGGGAAGAGAGAGCAGAUAAUGUUGAGUGUAUGAAAUGUUGAAAUCAUUGUGGAUAAUGUUAGACUAUCUACAAUUGUGGGUAAAUUUACCACCCUCAUUUUUUUUUAUUUUUUAACACUCUAUAUCAUUUUCUCGUUUUUCCACCUAAUUAUUCAACAACAAUUUCAUUUUUAACCAUACAAUAGUUUUGUUUAAUAAAAUUCAACAUCAUACCCCAUAAUUUUUAAUUCAUAAGUUUUUAUUGUUUAUAAUUUAAACUAUAUUAAUAAUUUGAUUAUAAUUAACUUAAAUAAUUAAAGUAUCAAAGUUUUUACUAAUUUUUAUUUAUAUCCUUCACUAAGUUUUGAAUAUCAAUAGUACAACUAAUACUAUUAAAAUUCAACUAUGUUCUAAUUAACACACAAAAAAAAACUGCAAUAUAGUGAAAACAAUUAUUUUCUGGUGUCCAAAUCAAGGAAACCAAGUCUUUAUCUAUAGAAUAUAAAAAGUUAUGAAUUUUGAUAUAACUUAUUUUAAAAAACAUAUUAUUUGAUAUACAAUAAUUGAUCUUAAAAACUAUGGUGAAAUAAAAAUCUAUAAAAUCUAAACAACUACUAAUAUAAUGACAUGUGUACCAAUUCACUCAUUUUAAUUUUUUUUUAAAAACUAAAAAUUCAUUUUUGAUAACUUUUUAUUUAUUUAAGUGUGUCUUAUAGUGAUCAAGAUAACUUUGUGGGUUCUACUGUUGGCUCUUCCAACAGGUUGAAUCCACAUCAUAUUUUUAAGUUUUUCAACAGAUUCAUUGUGGGUAGUUUUACACCAUUAACAAUGAUUACAUGAUUCAACACCCUAUUUUCAUCUUUUUAACAUUCACAUCAUCUUCUCUCUCUCUUCCACACAAUCAUUCAACAACCACUUUAUUUUUGUAACAUCUACCAUAUUUUUGUUUAAUAAAUUCAACACUUUACCCACUAUUUUUUAAUUCAUAUUUUUAUCCUUUACAAUAUACUAACUAUUUAUUAAUAAUUUUUUAUUAUAAUUAAAAUAAAUAUUUAAAAGGACAAAACAAAUUACCAUUUUUUUCAAGUUGGAUAUUCAUAUAUUUUAAAAAAUAUAUUAUUAAAACAAAUGAAAUCAUUAAAAUUACUCAUACCACCAAGAGGUAUUGGCAUAGAUAAUUUAGAAAAAUCAGUUGCUACAAUAAUAUUUCAAAUAGAAAAAAAAUAAGGUGUUUGAGAAAAAUAAAUCAUCAUUGAUCGAUGAUAUGGAAGAUAGUUUGGAAAAAUGAAGACAUGAAGAAAUUUGGUGAAAAACCAUAAUUUGGUAUAUUUUUUGGUUAAUUGAAAAUUUAGUUUUGAAAUUGAUAAUUUUGGGGAUUUGGGUAAUUACAAAGAAAAUUAGAAGAAUUUCAGAUGUUAAAAGAAUUAUUAUCUCGAUCCAUUUAUCAAAAAGAAGAUUAAAAAACCAAAAUAGUUUAUUAGAGUGAAAAAUGACGUUUUAUUUUUUAUACCCAAAUGAAAUGAAAUUGAUCUCUAUUUAUAGAUCAUAACAAAUCACGAGUUUUUGUACAAUAUUUUUUAAAUGUUAUAACACCAAAAUAGUUGAUUAUAGUGAAAAUGACGUUUUAUUUUCUGUACCAAAAUUAAAUGAAAUUGGUCUCCAUUUAUAGAUCAUACAAAAUCACGAGUUUUUGUAUAAUAUCUUUUAAAUAUUUUAGUAUAAAAUAAAUGAGUUCAAAUUAUUGGGUAAUAUUUUUGAAAAAAAAAAGAAUCUGGAAAGCCACUGAGAAUCAGAUAUGUGUCUCUAUCUAAAUACAUCAUGAGUGUUAUACACGCGUCCAACAUUUUUUCUAAUUAAAAUUUAACAAGUGUCAAAGCUGCCCCAGAAAGAAAAAAAUUGGUUGAAUACUUUCAACUUUUAUGAAUCCACGUGUUUUAUUCCCAAAAUCAACACUCUGGUUGCACGUUGUUCAACAGUUGAAUUAAUAACUUAACAUGUUCACUUUGGAUAUUCUUAUAACAUUGGUUUCAUAUCUUGUUCUACAUCGUUGAUUCAUCACUUAUUCAAUAUUAACUUCCUGGUAGUCCAUUAAAUUAAGUCUCUAGUUUUUUUUGCAUAAAAUUUGAUAAAAUUUUGUGUCUAGUUACGACACAAUGUUCACAAAACUUUAUGAAUGUAUUACACAUACGAGCACAUUUAUGUUUUUCUUACAGAUAAAGACACAUUCCACUUAAGAAGCACAUUGUGUUUUAAUCAACGAGAUUUUUGACAUAUUUACCCUUGUUCUUGAAACAGAGUGUAGACGUUCCGUUAAUAAGACUACCUUUGUUUUAUUCCCAAAAUCAACACCCUGGCUGCACGUUGUUCAACAGUUGAAUUAAUAAUUUAACAUGUUCACUUUGGAUAGUCUUAUAACACUGGUUUCAUAUCUUGUUCUACAUCGUUGAUUCAUCACUUAUUCAAUAUUAACUUUCUGAUUAGUCCAUUAAAUUAGGUCUCUAGUUUAUUUUGCAUAAAAUUUGAUAAAAUUUUGUGUCUAGUUACAACACAAUGUUCACAAAACUUUAUGAAUGUAUUAAACAUACGAGCACAUUUGUGUUUUUUUUACAGAUAAAGACACAUUCCACUUAAGAGGCACAUUGUGUUUUAAUCAACGAGAUUUUUGACAUAUUUAUCCUUGUUCUUGAAACAGAGUGUAGACGUUCUGUUAAGAAGAAAUGAGAACAAUAAGUAACUAGUUAUAGCACUUGGGUAUUAAUAUUUUAUAUAAUUAUUAUAUACUACACUGUUUUAUGUAACGGAAAACAAACCAAAUGAAAAAGACAUAGUUUAUCUUUAUUAUUAUCAUUUAUUCUACCUCUUUAUAUUUUGUUUUACUUUAUUUUAAAUUUAAAGAUAUAUAAAAAAUGCUUGAUGUAAUAAAUUAUGUUCUUUAUUCUCUAUAAUUUGUCAUCAACUUUGAUAUUUUUAUUUUAAAUUUAUACAUAAAAUAGUAUGGACUAAAACAUGGACAAAGGAGUUGUGGAUAUGAACAUUCUGAUUGUGUACAUUCCAAAAAUGACUAAAUAGUUUUAUAUGUUAGCAAUUUGAAUAUAUAAAAACAUAAAUUUUUGUUGGAGAAACCAUGUGAAGUGAAUUACGUAUUUUAUGGAAGAGAAAUAUGGUCAUAUAUGUUGUGGAUAAAUAAAGAAUAUGGGUUCAUACAUUAAGAAGACCAUUCUGCAUAUUUAAGAAUUUUGAGGUAAAAGCUUAAAUAAUCAAAAGACAAGGGACCAACAAUGCAAAAAGAUAAAACAGCACCAUUGUUGGUCUCGAGACCUCUGGCUUCUAAUCAACUUGGGCGAGUGAGGCAGGAUGGACUCCGACUCCUUUCACCAACAUGUUAUCUCGGCUAUACUUUUUCGUAUAAACCGCAAAUAAAAACCGAUGUUGUUCUCCGUUAUCUCUUUCUCUCUCUUGUUACAGAUAUGGCUUCUCGCCACUGUUUCUCUCUUUCUCUAGUUUCUCAAUCUUCAACUGAAGCAAUCUGAAAAACCAUAAUAUGAAGAAUACUUGGGUAAAUGAUAUCUUGCAUAUUUACAUUGUCUUAUCCAUUUAUUCAUGUGCAUUUUCAUCAUAUAGAUUAGGAUUUAGCCAUGUCUAGGUUGCAUUUUGCAUACAUAUGUCUCUAUCAGGUAUUUGAGUACCACAUGGAGUUUCUGGAGACAUUUGGGUGCAUUUGGAGCUCAAAGGAGGUGAUUAGAGUGGUCUUUGGACGAGCACUGCCUGAAGCGACUUCUCGGAGCGACGGCAUGAGGUCGCUGUGCACCACAUCCCGGAGCGACUCAUCCAGAGCGACUGCACAAAGUCGCUCGCGUUUUCACAUUGAGGUUGUAGAAAAAUCCCUUGUAGAUUUCAAAAAGAAAGAGUUAAAGUUCUUAGGAUCUAUUGGUGAGAGAUGUGAGUUGGGUUUGACAUUUGGGAAUGAUUGUGUAAUUGUAUGUUUGGGAAAAGGGUAGAAUAAUGGAGAUUGAGCAUUGUAUGCAUGAGUUGGUCCCUUUCUUAGAUAUAUUAUGUGCAAUGUCAAGGCUACUUGUUUUGAGAGUAAACCACCUUAAAGAUCAUAUGUUUUGAACCUCUUGAAUCACUUGAAUAAAAGCCUUCCCUUUCCCAACCAAAUGACUUGGACCAACGGACCAUUUGCAAGAAUUCACCUGAUGUUUUCUGCUUAAUGAAUGUGAGAGUUGGUUGAUUUGAAUGUGUGGAUGCUUGAUGAUGAGUGUAGGGACAAAAGGAGUUGAGAUAGGCCUAGAGAAGCUAGAGUGUAAUAAGAGAGUGUGCUAAUUAUGUUUGCUAGUUGUGUUUCUUUUGGCUAUGAGCUCCCACCUUCAAACCUCUCUCCUUAUGAGUUCUAGAAAGUUCACUUGAGGACAAGUAAAAGAACAAGUUUGGGGGAGUUGAUAUCUUGCAUAUUUACAUUGUCUUAUCCAUUUAUUCAUGUGCAUUUUCAUCAUAUAGAUUAGGAUUUAGCCAUGUCUAGGUUGCAUUUUGCAUACAUAUGUCUCUAUCAGGUAUUUGAGUACCACAUGGAGUUUCUGGAGACAUUUGGGUGCAUUUGGAGCUCAAAGGAGGUGAUUAGAGUGGUCUUUGGACGAGCACUGCCUGGAGCGACUUCUCGGAGCGACGGCAUGAGGUCGCUGUGCACCACAUCCCGGAGCGACUCAUCCAGAGCGACUGCACAAAGUCGCUCGCGUUUUCACAUCCGGAGACACACAUUUUGAUCUCGGAGCGACCUUCCAGAGCGACGUGCUGAAGUCGCUCCCGAAGCUUGGAGCGACCUUACCAGAGCGACAGGGAGAAGUCGCUCGCCAUUUUGGUUCUCGGAAACACGAAAUCGCUCUCGGAGCGACCUCUCGCAGCGACCCAGCGAGGUCGCUCCCGAAGCCUAGAGCGACGUGCUGGAGCGACUUGCCGAGGUCGCUGCGCGUCGCCUAUCUGCUCGAAUUAAUGUUUUCUCAAGGGCCUUUUUGUCAUUUUAUUAUGCACGUUUUUUAUUCUGAAAACCUAUGUUUUAAUACUCUGUAAGCCACCAAGAGGGGAUUAUCUUUGUUCUUAGAAAAACCACCAAAAACCUUUGGAAAGUCAUCUCUUUGAAUCAAUUGAUCAGUUUAUUAUUGAGAAUUCUGUGUUCUUAUCUAUUUUUCCUGUGUUUCUCUACAUGAUUAAUCUGAAAUCCAACAUGGGUUUAAGAGGAAUCAUGGAGAUUAGUGAGUAAUCCCUUUUGAAUUCAUGGGUUAGGGAGAUUGAGGGUGAUUAGGUUAGAACUAGGAUGUUUUAGUGUAGAUCAUUCAUAUUUCCUUGCUAGUUGAGUGAGCAUAAUGCAUCUUCUGAGUUGGCCACUCAGUAGUUGAAUCUUAGGCAUUUCCCCCCGAAAGGUGUUCGAGGAAAUGCCCGAGACAACUCUUUUUAGCUUUUAGCAUACUUUGCCAAAGACAUUUGUUGUUAGAGGUGCUAAGAUAGCCAUUGGACUUGCUGGUUAUGAUUGCUUUCAUAUUAUUCAACCAAAGACAUUUGAUGUUUGAAUUGUGUUAAGUAAAUGAACAUUCAUCUAGACAUAGAGUUUGUUUAGGAUUGUGUCCAAGCUUAAGGUUAAUAGAUUGAUUGAUCGUUUGCCAUCUUUAGUUCGAAACUUGAUCACCCGAGGUCUAAUCCCUAUAUCCAUGAGUUCUCUUUUCCAAUAGUUAAGAAAGUAUCAUUUAGUUAUUUCUUUUAAUUAGUCAUAGUUUAAAAACCCAUCUAAAUCAUUGAUUGCACUUAGAUUAAGUGAUUACUUGCAUUCUCGGUGCUUUGAUAUCUCUCAGAACUGGUUCGACAAUCAUUUAUACUACAGCAUUUGUCUUAGGAGCCUUGAAAACUCCUAACAUCAAAUUGGCGCCGUUGCCAAAUUCUGAGUAGAUUUAAACAUUGAGAUUUAGUCAAUUGCUUGAGACUAAGUCAUUUUUAUUUUCUUUUGUUACUGACUCUUCUUCACCUCCCUUUAAUCUACAGGUGUAUGAACUUGCGGAGCAGGGGUCCAUCAAACCUAGUUCCAAGAGCAGCAGACAUCAGAGCUUUAGAGAGAGAGUGUGCUAAAAGAGAAGAGAAGAAGAACAUCAGGCUCAAUUGCAGAGACUGAACACUGACAUGGGAGACGUUCAUCAAGAAGAUGCAGGCGUCAAUGGCGCUAACAACAAUGGUCCACCUAACCAACAGCGAGCAGCUCGACCCAUUGGCACUUACGACCGUCCAAACAUUCAUGGUCAUAGAUUGGGAAUCCGAGCACCCGCUGUGGCAGCCAACAACUUUGAGAUCAAGUCAGGACUCCUCAACGUGAUUGAGAACAACAAGUAUCAUGGCUUGGCUCUAGAGGAUCCAUUUGAUCACUUGGACAGGUUCGACAGCUACUGUGGGUUGUCAAAAACCAAUGGUGUGUCCGAAGAUGCUUUAAAGCUCAAGCUAUUCCCUUUCUCUUUGGGGGAUAAGGCACGUCAGUGGGAGAAGUCUCUACCCAGCGACUCCAUUACCACUUGGGAUGACUGCAAGAAAGCAUUCUUGGAGAAGUUCUUCUCUACUUCAAGAACUGCUAAGCUGAGAAACGAGAUCUCCAGCUUUCAACAGAAGGGCUUGGAAGGUUUCAGUGAAGCCUGGGAGAGAUUCAAGGGCUACCAAGCUCAAUGCCCACACCAUGGUUUCUCUAAGGAGAGCUUGCUGAGCACAUUCUACCGUGGUGCUCUCCCUAAGUACAGGGCCAGACUGGAUACAGCUAGUAAUGGGUUCUUCUUGGGGAGAACUGAGGAGGAUGCAGAGGAGCUGGUUGACAACAUGGUUAAGAGUGAUGCAGUCUACAGUGGAGACCACGACAGAGGCAGUAGAACUGAUGAUAAGCAGACGAGGAAGGAAUUGAAGGCUCUACAGGAUAAGAUAGACAUCCUCAUUGCUGAUAAAGCUACCCAAGAGCAGCUGCACUUUGUUGGCAACCCAAGCCAAGAGACACCAGUUGUUGUCCAUGAAGUUGAGGGUUUGGAAGGUCAGGAAGAGCUGUGUUUCAUCAACAACAAUGGUAGCUGGUACAAGAAAGAACCCAACUUUCAGUACAACAACUACCAACAGAAAUCCUAUUCCAACAACCAACAGAGUGGUUAUCAGCCUCGGAACAAUCAGCAAGGCAGCUAUCAACCUCAGCAAAACCCUCCUCCUGGAUUCAACAACAAGGGCAACCAUUCUUCCCAACAACAAUCUAAUCCCUCUACCUCCACUCCUCAAGUCAGCAGCACUGAUGCUCUACUGAAACAAAUCCUGGAGUCUCAAACAAGAAGUGAGAAGCAUGUUGGCUAUGAGUUGAAGAAUCUUCACUCAAAGAUUGAUGGGAGCUACAAUGAGCUCAACAACAAGUUCAGAGCUUUGGAGAACCAGUUUGCUGCCAUGAACACUCAACAAAAUCGCCAACAAGGUUCUCUACCUGGAAAAUCUGAGCAAAACCCCAAGGAAACCAUGAAAGCUAUCACUCUCAGGAGUGGUAAGGAGUUACCUCAGAGAACUCUCACCAAGGAUGCUGAGAAACAAAGUGAGGGGGUUGCCAUCACCAUAGAUGAUGAAGUGGUGAUUGUUGAUGAGAAGAUCAAUGACGAGAUCUUGGAAAAGAUAGUGGAAGCAAAAGGAAAAGGAAAGGUUGGAGAAGAGAAGAAAACAGUUAAAGAUGGUGAAGUUGUCACUCCUGCAAGUGAAAACUCUUUUGUUCCUCCUGCCUAUGAACCCAAGCUUCCAUUCCCAGGUCGAUUCAAGAGGCAGCUGCUAGAGAAGUACAAAGCUUUGUUUGACAAGCAAAUGAGUGAAGUCCAGGUCACAAUGCCCAUUAUUGACGCUUUCAUGCUGAUCCCUCAGUACAGCAAGUUCCUCAAAGAUGCUGUAGCUGCAAAGAAGAAAGAGAUGGAGGGCAUGGUGAUUCUCACUCAUGAGUGCAGUGCUAUCAUUCAGAGACUGGUCAUUCCAAAGAAGCUAGAAGAUCCAGGAUGCUUCACAUUACCUUGUGCUCUUGGACCUAUGGUAUUUGAUAGAUGUCUCUGCGAUUUGGGAGCUAGUGUCAGCUUGAUGCCCCUAUCUGUUGCUAAGAAGCUGGGUUUCACUCAGUACAAGAAGUGUAGACUUUCUCUGGUAUUGGCUGAUCGUUCAGUGAAGUACCCUGUGGGUAUCUUAGAGGACCUCCCAGUGAUGGUUGGAAAUUAUGAGAUCCCUACAGACUUUGUGGUGCUUGAAAUGGGUGAAGAAGCUCAAGAUCCUUUAAUCCUUGGAAGACCUUUCUUAGCCACAGCAGGAGCUAUUGUUAAUGUUAAAGAAGGCAAGAUUGAUCUCCAUCUGGGUAAAGGGCACGUUCUGCAUUUCGACAUCAAGGAAGUAAUGAGGAGGCCAACAGUUCAAGGACAAGUGUUCUACAUCGAAGAGAUGGAUGCCCUUGCUGAUGAACUCCUUGAAGAGUUGUCACUAGAGGACCCUCUACAGCAUGCUUUAACUGUAGAGAAGGAGACUGAGGUGAUUGAGAACCUGGAGAGUACUGCCUAUGGGAUGAUGCUGGAUUCACACCAGGCGUUUUUCAGUAAGGACCAGUACGAGGAGCUUCCACAGAUGGUUCACCAACAAGUCUCAGUCACUCAACAAGAGGACAACCAGCAGGAUGACUGGAGUGAACUUAAGGCACCUAAAGUGGAGCUUAAACCUCUUCCCCAUGGUGUAAGGUAUGCAUUCCUUGGUCCUAAUGAAACUUACCCUGUCAUUGUGAGUAGUGAACUUACUGAAAAUGAGCUAUCUGAACUUUUGAAAACACUUAAAAGAUUUAGAAAGGCAAUAGGUUACUCACUAGAUGACAUCAAGGGGAUAUCACCCUCUUUGUGCAUGCAUAGGAUACAUCUUGAGGAUGAAUCAAUGACUUCUAUCGAGCAUCAAAGAAGGUUAAAUCCUAACCUGAAGGAUGUUGUAAAGAAAGAGAUUCUUAAACUCCUAGAUGCUGGUGUUAUUUACCCUAUCUCAGAUUCUAAAUGGGUAUCACCUGUGCAUGUUGUACCAAAGAAAGGUGGUAUCACUGUGAUCAAGAAUGACAAGGAUGAAUUGAUACCAACAAGAACCAUCACAGGUCAUAGAAUGUGCAUUGAUUACCGAAAACUAAACUCUGCAUCUAGAAAGGAUCAUUUUCCACUACCAUUUAUUGAUCAGAUGCUUGAGAGACUUGCAAAUCACCCAUUCUAUUGUUUCCUUGAUGGGUACUCAGGAUUUUUCCAAAUCCCCAUACAUCCCAAUGAUCAAGAGAAAACGACAUUCACAUGUCCCUAUGGUACCUUUGCAUAUCGAAGAAUGCCAUUUGGACUAUGUAAUGCUCCAGCCACCUUUCAAAGGUGCAUGAUGUCAAUUUUCUCUGAUCUGAUUGAGGAUGUUGUGGAGGUAUUCAUGGAUGAUUUCUCUGUCUACGGAUCUUCGUUUUCUGCUUGUUUGUCAAAUUUGUGCAGGGUCCUACAGAGAUGUGAAGACACCAACCUUGUGCUGAAUUGGGAGAAGUGUCACUUCAUGGUCAAGGAAGGGAUUGUGCUAGGACACAAGAUUUCAGAGAAGGGGAUUGAGGUGGAUAAAGCCAAAAUCGAUGUUAUGGUUGGUCUGCCUCCACCAAAGACAGUGAAAGACAUCCGGAGUUUUCUUGGUCAUGCUGGAUUCUACAGGAGGUUCAUCAAGGAUUUCUCCAUGAUCACUAGACCUUUGACCAGACUGCUGUGCAAGGAAGCUACCUUCAGUUUUGAUGUAGAAUGUCUACAAGCUUUCAAGAAGCUGAAAGGUGAACUCGUUAGUGCCCCAAUUGUCCAGCCACCUGAUUGGGAUCUCCCUUUUGAGAUCAUGUGUGACGCCAGUGACUAUGCUGUGGGAGCUGUUCUGGGGCAGAAGAAAGAUGGCAAAACCCAUGUGAUCUAUUAUGCCAGCCAAACCCUCAAUGAUGCCCAGAUGAAGUAUGCCACAACAGAGAAGGAGAUGCUGGCAAUUGUUUUUGCCUUUGAGAAGUUCAGGAGCUACUUGGUUGGGUCUAAAGUCAUUGUCUACACAGAUCAUGCCGCCUUGAGACACCUUUUGGCCAAGAAGGAUGCAAAACCCAGGCUUUUGAGGUGGAUCCUUUUGCUCCAAGAGUUUGAUAUGGAGAUCAAGGACAAACCUGGAGUUGAGAAUGGAGUAGCUGAUCAUUUGUCCAGGUUGAGGGUAGAGUCUGGUAUCCCUAUUGACGAAGGACUUCCUGAGGAGCAGAUCAUGGCUAUCGAAGCAGUGAUAGCAGUUUGUGAGACUGGUAGGAAGCUGGAAGAAGUCAAAGCAACAGAGGAGAAGGAACCUUGGUAUGCUGAUUUGGUGAACUACCUAGCCACAGGAAGAGAACCUUUGAAUCUUGUAGGGUAUGCCAAGAAGAAGUUCUACAAGGAUGUGAAAAGAUAUUACUGGGACGAACCCUACCUCUACAUUCUCUGCAAAGAUCAGCUUUAUAGGAGAGUGGUUGCAAAUGAGGAGAUUGAUGGGAUCCUUGCACAGUGUCAUGGAUCAUCCUAUGGAGGUCACUUUGCCACCUUCAAGACAGUUGCAAAAGUAUUACAAGCUGGAUUCUGGUGGCCACACAUGUUCAAGGAUACACAAGACUUUGUUUCGAAGUGUGAUUCUUGCCAAAGAAGAGGAAACAUCACCAAGAGGAAUGAGAUGCCUCAAAAUCCAAUCCUUGAAGUUGAAGUGUUUGAUGUCUGGGGUAUUGACUUCAUGGGACCAUUUCCAUCAUCUUUUGGCAACAAAUAUAUCCUUGUGGCUGUUGAUUAUGUCUCCAAAUGGGUGGAAGCCAUUGCAAGCCCCACCAAUGAUGCUAGAGUUGUAAUCAAGAUGUUCAAGAGCAUCAUCUUCCCAAGGUUUGGAGUUCCAAGAGUUGUAAUCAGUGAUGGAGGUUCCCACUUCAUUAACAAACUGCUUGAGGGACUUCUCAAGAAGAACGGUGUGAAGCACAAGGUGGCAACUCCUUAUCAUCCCCAAACAAGUGGCCAAGUUGAGAUUUCUAACAGGGAGAUCAAAUCUAUCCUGGAGAAGAUUGUGGGGAUUACAAGGAAGGAUUGGUCUAAUAAGCUUGACGAUGCACUUUGGGCUUAUAGGACAGCGUACAAGACACCACUGGGUACCACACCUUUCAACCUAGUGUAUGGGAAAGCUUGCCAUUUGCCAGUGGAGCUUGAGUACAAGGCACUAUGGGCAAUAAAGUUGCUGAACUUUGACAUCAAGAGUGCCAAGGAGAAAAGGCUCUUUCAGCUACAUGAGCUUGAUGAGAUAAGAUUGGAUGCUUUCGAGAACUCAAGAAUCUACAAGGAGAAGACUAAGGCUUUCCAUGACAAGAACAUCCUGAAGAGAGAGUUUAAAGAAGGAGACCAAGUUCUUCUCUACAACUCUAGGCUGAAGUUGUUUCCAGGAAAGCUUAAGUCAAGGUGGUCCGGUCCUUUCAAGGUCAAGGAGGUUAGACCAUAUGGAGCAAUAGUUUUGUGGAGCACUGAUGGAAGAGACUUCACAGUCAAUGGACAAAGGGUUAAGCUCUACAUGGCUACUGCACCAGAGGAAGAUGGGGUUUCAACUCCACUGUCUGAUCCUACCCCGGCCUAAUCUAAAAGGAGGCAAAGUCAAGCUCGGGACUUAAAACAAGCUCACUUGGGAGGAAGUCCCAUGCGUAUCCUUGUACAUAUUGCAUUGGUAUUUCCAUUUUUCAUCUUAUUGCAUAAAAAAAAAAAAGAGAGAGAAGUUGUGUGCAGGUGCUUGAUCGGUUCAUUUUGAGCAGGAGUCGUGCGUGGGAGCGAGGUCUCACAGCGACACCUCAAGGUCGCUCCAGCUGGGAGCGAGGUUUCGAGAGCGACACUCCAUGGUCGCUCGCGUUUUCGUCGUCGGAUCAAGAAAAAAUCGCCUCAGAGCGAGGUCUCGGAGCGAGGCCGAAGGGUCGCUCCAGCUGGGAGCGACAUUAUGGGAGCGACACCUCGGAGUCGCUCGCGUUUUCGACGAAACGGAGCUCAAAAACUGACCCGGAGCGACGUCCUAGAGCGACACCUUGAAGUCGCUCCAGCCCAGAGCGAGGUUUCUAGAGCGACACUUCAAGGUCGCUCGCGGUUUUGUCGAAACACGACGCGAGGAAACGACUCGGGAGCGACCUCUCCCAGCGACACCCUCACGUCGCUCCCGAACCGGUCCAGGUAAGUUUCCUAACUCUAAACCCCGGUUUAAUUCAAGUAAACCGACCCUAACCACCCUAAACCGAACCGGACGACCCUAAACCUACCCCAACCCCCGCGACUCCUAUCUCUCUCACUCUCCCCUCCUCUCACAAACUCACAAACUCUCUCAAACUCACCCACACCAAAAAUCCCAAAACCUUCUCAAUUCUCACCCAAAUCAACUAGUUCUUGUUUCUAAACCAAGCUUUCGCCCCUGUAGCCUAUUCCUCACCACCCAUUCACCAUUUCCUUUCAUCCAGAGCAAGGUAUUGAGUUUUUAAAUUCAAAUUCGUAGGUCCAUGAACCCUAGAAUUUGAAAGUCGAAAUUUGGUCACUUUCUUGCUAGAUUGUGGUGAAAUAGACUAGGGAAAGUUUAUCUAUCAAGUUGGGUUGUUGAAUUAAUGGUGAAAUUGAGUUUAAUUUGCACUUUGGCAAAAUUAGGGUUCAUGGAAUUAGGGAUUUUCGAAUUUGACCUUAAUUGGGUGAGUUUGUGGGUGAACUAGAUGUGUUAAGGUGUUACAAGAGUGAGAAUUGUUGCAUUGUGUUGAACUUGAGUUUAAAUUGAUAAUUCAUUUGUUAAGUUCACUUUUGCAAUUUUCUCUUGCAAAAUCCUGUUUUUCUUUACUUCCAACUACUUAUCCCUUUUCAAGUUUUUACUUCUUCAGGUGAAAAUGGUUAAGAAGACAAAGGGAAAGUUGGAAGCUGAGAAGCAAGAAGCUGAAAGAACAGAGUUUGCAUUAAGAGGAAAAGCUUUAUCCUGCGAGCCAACUGGGUCAGGGACGCAGAGAACCGUUCGACAGCAGACUUUGGCUGCAAGGAAAUCGCAAGAACAAGAGAAGAGGGCUGGGAAAAGUGUAGCAGUUCCCACUCAUGAGGAGAGUGAAACUGAGAGUGCUGAUGAGCAGGCACCUACGAAGAAAGCCAAGAUGUCCAAAGGAAAAGGGGUUGCUGUUGAUCGAGACAGGGCAAAAACUCCAUCUGUGGAGGAGCUGUAUGAUCACUUGAAGAAUGGGUCACUUGGGCUCCAACCAGGUUCGCCGACCUCGAUUUGCUGAAGGAGUUGGGCCUAGAAUCCGAUAUUGAGGCGAUGCUGGGACAUUUGAAGAUGCCAAAACUCCUCACCAUGGCUUAUCCUUUCUACAAGGAUGUCACUUGUCAGUUCCUAUCCUCUCUUGUGGUCACUUACCACGACACGGCGCAUGUGAGGCAAGGAUGGGGAAAAAUCACGUUCAAGGUCAAUGGAAGGGAAUACAACAUGAACUUCAAGGACAUUGGGAGGGUCAUGGGGUUCCAAGACCUAGAAGACCACUCACUUCCCAAGUGUGAGAACCUCCCCACAGAGCUUUGGAAGUUGAUCACUGGAAACAGGCACUCUACCGGGGCUGACAAGAACUCACACAUCCGACACCCGUCUGUACGCUACCUCCACAGAUUGCUAGUCCAUGCUUUCUACCCACGGAAGCAAGCUGGUAAUGUUACUGAGGAAGACAUGCGACUGCUCUGUCCGGCUAUCCGUCCUUACGCUCAACCUGGAGUGUUACCCCUUCCCAGCACUGAUAUCUAUGCUACCUUUGGGAUGGUCAGUUUCUUUGUGGGCCGUCUCGAACACUACAGAGACUGGGCGUGGUACACCACUGAUUCGCGCCCAAAGAUGGGGAUAGGCGGAAUGAUCACACCACUGCUCCAAUUUCUGAAUGUUCCCUUGGGAAAGGACGCAGCGGGGCCUAGGUUCAUUGAUGGCACCUACUUGAGGAUUGCCACCUAUUUCAGUGGGAUGUAUGGGAAGGACUACGUCUACCACUACUACUUGCAGGGCAAGCCAGUCGAGGUGGUUCUUCCAAACCGGAACCUGACGAGUUUAGAGAUACCAGGAGCUGUCAGCUUCAACAUUCCCCAGGAGUACUUUCUCGGAGAACACGGGCCUCUCGAUCCAAUUCAAGCAGCUUCAUCAAGGAGAAGGAGUGUCCCUACGCAACCUGACCCGCCUGUUGCAGACACGUCUGAGCAUAUCUAUGGACCUCCGCGCUACUACUUCAAGCCCCAUGACGGAGUCCUUCCCCCUGGAGCUCUCCGUGAUGCUCAUGACCACAUUGGUCGUCUCCAGAGGUGGAACAAAGCUCAGGACAGAACGAUAGAAAAGCUGAAGGAUAAGUGCAAGGCGCUCAGCAAGACUGUGAAGAAGCAGGCAAAGACUUCAGCCAAGUUCAUGAAGAAAGUAGCUGAUGUCUUAACUAGGGGAGGAAUAGCUGGAUGUAGCUCAGCCGAUUUCGCUUUCGCGAACACCUCAAACCCCCAGCCCCCACCCCCGCCUGAUGCUCUUGGCUUCCCCCUCACUGCUGCGCAGCUUCAGCGUAAGUGGAGGAACCCACCCACUCAACCUUCCACUUCCGGCAACAAAUCCCCAUCCCUCGCUUCUUCUGACAGUGAGCACGAGAUUGACGAGGUUGAGAGCCAGCCAUGGUAUGGAGGCUCCGGUUCAGCAUCCGGUGGUUACUACACCACCUUCCCUCCUGACGACGACGAUGCUGGGGCAUCUGCCCCCACCUAUUAUCCAUAGGAGGUACUUCUUUCUCUCCCUUGUAUAUACCAUCUCAUUUUUUUUUUUUUGCAUAUUAGUUUUCUUCUCGGUAUCUCCUUCUUUCUUUGACAACACAGAGACUGUGUAACUCAAGUUUGGGGGAGGUACCAAGCAUUUGAUCACGUUUGCUUUGAUUGUGUUUCAUUUGAGUCAUGCAUUGCACACCUAUUUGCAUAAAAAAAAAAAAAAAAAAGAUUUUUCAUUUAGUUUGCAUCAUUUGCACCAUUAGGAGAGUCUAGAGCAUAUAGGGUGCAUUCACUUGCAUUGGGAGCAAUGAUUUUAAAUGCCUUGUAAAGAACACUACGUUGCACCAUUGAGUAGCCAUGCACCUCUCGAAAAGACUUGUAUGUUUCGAGCCUUGAAAACUCUUCUUGAAACUUGUUGAUUGCUGAAACUCAGUCUUUGAAGCCAACUACAACCUUAUUAGAAAUGAAUGAACUUAAUGCUUCUUGCUUAGGGUCCCUUGUGUACUGAGUCAUGGCUAUACACACUGGAGUUGUCACAUCUUUUAUGCCAAUCUUUUUGACAAACUCUAGUGGUAGACCACUCCCAAAACCUUUCCUUCCUUUUAAGCUUUCAUUGUUUGAUGAGUGAGGCCUUCUUCGGAAAGUCUUACAUGCGCAUAAUGUUGAGAGUAUCGGGAACGACAAUGCUUGAUCUUCAUUUUUGCUAGAUUGGACACUCUUUUGUCUAGCUAUAGGUGGGAGGGUGAGUGUUGUGAUCAUGAUUUGGGAGAAAUGAAAAAUAAAAAGGAUAGACUCUUUGUGCUUAAGUGAAUUGAUUUUCUGGGAUAAGUAGAGAACCUCUAGCUCUAGUUUCGAAAAGUCUUGGCCCCCAACCUAAAAAAAAAAAAAAAAAAAAAAAAAAAAAAAAAAAAAAAAAAAAAAAAAAAAAAAAAAAAAAAAAAAAAAAAAAAGGGGGCUAGCAAAGUUGUUAGGAGCUAAGAAAUGUUUUGAGGUUGUAGAAAAAUCCCUUGUAGAUUUCAAAAAGAAAGAGUUAAAGUUCUUAGGAUCUAUUGGUGAGAGAUGUGAGUUGGGUUUGACAUUUGGGAAUGAUUGUGUAAUUGUAUGUUUGGGAAAAGGGUAGAACAAUGGAGAUUGAGCAUUGUAUGCAUGAGUUGGUCCCUUUCUUAGAUAUAUUAUGUGCAAUGUCAAGGCUACUUGUUUUGAGAGUAAACCACCUUAAAGAUCAUAUGUUUUGAACCUCUUGAAUCACUUGAAUAAAAGCCUUCCCUUACCCAACCAAAUGACUUGGACCAACGGACCAUUUGCAAGAAUUCAC